RNAcentral lists this long non-coding RNA (55264 nucleotides) under Prunus persica (peach). RNAcentral describes it as "long non-coding RNA (PPER_LNC007394)". The stretch from base 47060 to 47131 matches the Rfam family "tRNA". Lineage: Eukaryota; Viridiplantae; Streptophyta; Magnoliopsida; Rosales; Rosaceae. The record is from RNAcentral.
AGGCCUUGGGAGGUGUGCACUGUGCUCAUAUUUCCGAUGUGGGACUGUGGACAUGGAUUGUGAGCAUGACACGUGUCCGAUGGUAAAAAGGGGCCAAGAUAGAUGGCUUCGGUAGGAAUCAUGCCGAAGAGGAUCUGUGAUCAAUAUCGGUCCUGUCCACGUGUUCGGUGGUCAUAGGCCGUUUCUUUCCGGUAUAAACAAAUACCAACAACACUUUUAACAAAAACUUUAUCAAACGCCAAACUGUUUUCUCUCACAACAAAUCUGACAACGAUUAUUUUUAUAGCACAGUAAUGCCAAACAAUCCCUUAAUACUUGAAGAUUAUAUGUCCUCUGCUUAUUGGGGCGGCGAACACGAUUACUAAUUAACAAAUAUAAAGGUUUUUCUUUUUCUAAGUCAUGGUUAAUUGAUUUUUGUUAACUCAAAAUUAUGGGGAUAAGUUGUCACGUAGGCAAAUAAAAAGAGGGAAGCUGUCAAAAGUCUGAGAUUGGUCCGUAUGCUAAUGUAUACACCAAGUCUCUCUGGUGAAUCGACGAGUGUGAUAUAAAUAAUAAUGAUAAUUAAUAAAAAGCAAAACCCACUUAGAUACUCCACCACAAAGGGUGCUGUAGACUUCUCAAUGGUCAUAUAAUUAAUCCAAAUUAUAGAUGAUUAGAGCGAUUCAAAAGCAGGAGCCACGUAUAAUGUAUACCCAUUUGCAAGGAAACCUAUCUUUCUUAAAUCUAAUAGUUAUUUGCAUGUCCAGAGACGAGAAACCCUAGUUGGUCUGUAAUUAAAUUUUGUUCGCAUCUUAUACAUUUGAUAACUCUGCACCCGAGUUCAAAUUCUCUUUUCGUAGUUUAGUUAGUUUAAUAAGUAUAUUUAAUUAUGAAUAAUUUGCUUUAUGGGAGAUUCAGACCAAAUGAAGAUAAUAAUUUAUGGAAGAUGGAGCGUCUUAAUCAUCUUUUUUAUAUAUAUAGUUGAAGUUUGUGAAUAGCUUCUCCACUCAAAUGGGCUCGGGCCAAUCCCAAUCUCCUUAAGUUGCCGCAUUGCAGAUCUCAUAUUCUCCAGAAAAAAUGGAAGGAAUAGAAAAUCGGGAAUUGACAGAAUGAGAGGUCAACAGCAUUUUGUAUUAAUUAAUUUAAUUUACCUGAAUCUAGCGGCCAUUCCCUUUUUAAAUAAUAUUAUCGCAUUAUAUGGUGUCAGUAAAUUAAUCUCAACUAGCUUUUGUCUGUGAUUUUAAUAUUAUUCUCACAAUGAGCUCACCAACCUGUAGAUCUUUCAGUUGAGUUUAAUUAGUAUGUAAUAUAGGAGAAAUUCAUCAUUUUUAUAAAUAUCAUAUGUUUCUUUACUGUCUUAAAAAUGAUAUAUACUGAGCAUGCAAAAAUUAAAUACUUUUUUUUUCUUUAAUACAACACAAUAAUUAAUAAACUUACAUUAUAAUUCAUCCCUAAUUAAACCAUAUAAUACUCAAUUCUAACAAAAUCUCAAAUCAAAGCCUUAGAAUAAUUCAUCCCUAAUCAAAACCCUAAUUAAUUUCAAUAAAAUCUCAAAAUUAUAAUUCAUCCCUAAUUAAACCCUAGAAUACUUAAUUUUAAAUUAAAGAUAUAUAGCAAAUGAGAGAAUGAGAAUAAUACUUGUUGUUGACAAAAGGAAAUGAGAAUAUGUUGUUGCCAAGUUGCCCACUCAAGAUAAUAGAUGUAGCCAAUAGAGGGAGAAUUUAAACCCCAACACCCCCCUCCCCCCAAAAAAAAAAAAAAAAAAAAGAAGAAACAAGUUGCUAAUGUCGUGUAGCAAAGAGAGAGAAACAAAAAGUCUAAUAGUUAAAAGAGAAGGAAAGAGAAUAUAUGAGACCACUUGGAUGGGCAGCAUAUGUGUAGAGUUUACUUUUAAUUUUUUUAAUUUUGAGCUAGGCUUAUAACACAUGUAGGUUUUUUUUUGAAAAAAUUUAGGUUGGUCAGGCACCCAGCCUGCAUUGUACACAACACCACCCUUGCAUUAUAGUUUUACUCACAUUCAAACUUGCUUAAUUUUAGAGUUAUAUGAUGGGAGCAAUAUCUAAUGACUUAAGAAUGUGAGAAAAUUACAAUUGGGGAAAUAGUUUGAAUCAAUCAAUCCUUUGAAUUAAUAAAAUAAAUAAAUAAUUGGGAAGAAGAGCUUCAAUCCUUUCGACUCCCAUGCAACUAUGGGUGAUGAAAUCGCAUCGUCACGAAAGCCCUUAGCUUCUAGUGAAAGACACAGCCGACAACUCUUGAGAAUCAAAUACCAACAAGAAUUGCUAAUAGGUUUAGAUUCGAUGGUUAAAUAAGAAUGGAGAUAGACAUAUUAAUAUAAUUUAUUUUUUUCAGCUGGAUAAAAAUUAUAAAAACAAUAAAAUUGUAUGACAGAGGUACAUUCACAUUGUUCCAGAAGAGCUUGUUUGAAAACUUAAACAAAAUUAUUAUUAGUAUAUUAUCCAUAUUAUGGUCACAUAGUCAGCUUAGUUUUACUAUAAAUAAAAUGGUGACAAAAAAUAACAAAGAGGAGGAACUAUUUUUUUGUCUUUUUCUUUUGUCUUUUUACUUUCUUAAGCUCCGGUUCCCUUUGUUUUGUGUGAGAAAAUGACGAAUAUCUAAUCAUUAACUUUAUAGUUAAUUAAGCCAUUAAUAAUAUAUUCGAUCUAUUUUGGUUAGCCAACCAAUCAAACUCACACCUUGUAUAAUGUCUAAUUGUGUACAUCAAUAAGAAAUAAAGUAAGGAAAAUAUUUCUCUCAUUUUCUUAAAAGUAAAAACUCCUACAUUCCUGUCAAUUGUUAGUAUGACAUGUGUGUAUAAGUUUUCUUUUUUUGUUUUUAAUGAAAUAUUUUUACAUAUGUUUCAAACCGCGAUUUGCAGGAAGGAGGUAAACAAUAUUCAUAAAAUAAACUGUGAAAACAAUAAUAACUAACGUGAAAAUAAUUAAAAGAAAAAUAAGGUUACUUGAAUGAGAAAGGUAUAAAGGCAAACCUUGUUAGUUGGGUCAAUAUUAAUUUGAUAAAUACUAUAAAAAAAAAAUUAAUAUUUGUGGUAUAAAAUUAAUAUAAUUAGGUACGUAGUACAUUACAUACAACCAUUAAGAAUAAAAUGCAUGCAUAUAUAUAACUAUAUAUGGACCGACGAUAUCUCUAGUUUUUUGUUGUUGUUUAUAUCUAUCAUAUUUUUAGACGGUAAAUUAAUGUAAUGUAAGAGAAUCUGUCCAAAACAAAAUUGAAAAAAUAAAAACUAAUUAUGUGAGAAAGAAAGUGAAAGGCAACACUUAUUAUUAAUUUGAAAAUAAUUAAUUAUCACUAUAUGUGGGCCGACGACAGAGAAAUCUUUCCAUAGAAAAAGAAAAAUGUAGAAAAUUAACAAGAACAUUUAGAACCAAAAUCAUAUGCCACAUGCAGAGUUAGAGAGGUACAUACAGGGCAGAAAUUAUUAUUUUUAUUGGAGUUGGAAUUUAUAAAAUAAAAAAUUAUAAUCGACGGUGGAAAUGGUCGGUUGCCGCCAUGAAACAAUGAGAUCAUGACUGAUGAUCUAUGAAGUUGGAAAUGAGAGUUAGGAAAAUUCGAAAGUGACAAUUGUUUUGUUGCAUAUCAACUUGCUCAUUCAAGAUGGUCAUAAUUAUUUAUGGAAGAAGUACCUUUCACGUAUUUGAAGACAUGUUUGCAUACCAACUUGUUGAUUCAAUACAUAUUUGGAAGUCAUUUUACGAUGAUCAUAAUUAUUUAUGGAAGAAGUAGCCCUCACGUAUUUUUUUAUGUAUAAUCAUUUUAAAUAAUUUUAAGCGAUUAUCAAAAGAAGUACAUAUAAAAUAAAUAAAAAAAGAAAAGUGAUUAUUGGACUAUCUAAAAUUAUCCCGUAGGAGCCCCCACCCACCACAUAUAAAUUUGUAUAUAUCUAUCAAUAUAUUAGCUAUUGCAUUGCAUAUGCAUAUCUAUCUCUUUCUAUUUUGAUAUAAAAUAUUCCAGAUUUUUUGUUUUGAAAAUCAUAAAUAGCUUUGUGGGUUAUAUUGGUCCCAUAUGCUCUUAGUUGUCUUAGUCACCAGUUACCGACCAACUUCUUCAUAUUCCCAUGUGCCUCUGCUAUAGGCCCACCUACCCCAUCAUUCCAAAAUAGGUGGCUGCUUCAAAACGAUAGUUUUUAUAGGAAAUUUUGGUGAGAACAAAUUUUAUGUUUUUCAUUAUUUUCUCUCAUGAAAUGUUUUUUUUUAUUUAUUUACGAAAAUAUGUUUAUAUUGUUAAGUGAAUUCGAAUUGGAAUCAUUUAAAAAAAUAUAUAUAAUAUGGUCUAGAUGCUAAUCGAUGGGCUUACCUGAAACCCUAGCCCCUUGUAGUAAGAGGAAAACUAGUGAUUGAGGCAUGCUUUCGAUUUCAGAGGAAACAAUCUAAUCAAACGAAUAAAGCAGGUUAAUUAUCACCUCGUAGUUAUUGGAAUGGAUUUGUUACUCCGUGUACCAAACAAAAUGUACAAAUUAAUAUCUCAUAUGUCGACGAUGAAAUUUCUUGGCGAUGAGAAAUUAAAGUUUCCUCCCAACAAAUGCUUCAAAUCAUCGUACGUCCAACUUUGUACAGUCAUAUUUGUUCUCAGGCCAGUCACAUCUGUCCGUCUUUUUAUGUCGAAAGAAUAAUACUACACGCAUCAAGUUUCUUCAUAAAAAUUUUGUUCACGAAAUAAUGUGUUAGUAUGUUAUUUAUUCAUAUACGAGUUCAUUAUACUUUAUUUAUUUUUAAGAGGACUCUAACACAGACUGUUCAAGCACAUUAUUUGAUUAUCUCAAUUCACUAAUUGACGGAUUCUUUAAUUUAUAAUUUAAUUAUAAAACGAAAUCUAUGAGGACCUAAUUGAAAAACUUAAUACUAAAACGACUAAUUGAAUCAAUACAGAAGCUAAAAAAGAUCAAAUUGAUCACUUUUCCUAAGAUCUAUGUUUAAUAUUGUUUCCUUAUCUUAUCUCUUCCUUGUUGAUCUUGAUAUCCUUUUUUAAAGUUCUCCAUGUGUGUGUGUUAUGUUCUCCCAUGAUUGGCUCUUUCAUCUCAGUACACCAUUCUGUCCAUUCCAUACUUCUUCCAAAAUUUGUUACUUAUUAUUUAUUCUGCUAACAUCCUUCCAAAAUUGUAUUUAAUCCAUGGGACAUGAGUAAUAAAUUAAGAACGAAGCUUGCUUAUCAUUGAAUAAUCAUGCCUCCCUAACCCAUCUGAAAUAUAUUGUUUAAUAAUGUCAUUAACCAAUAUUAUCUUAAUUCAUCUUCUUUAAUAUUUUAAUACAACUGCAAAAUCUAGAUUAUACUAAUCCAACCAGGGAUGAUAACAGGGCACGGCAUGUAUACUCCAACCAAUCAUAAGGAAAUAACUCCAACGCCUCACUAACUAUAUAAACAAAGUUAUACUGCUAUAUGUCAUUACCUAACACCAUAUUAGCACAUAGAAUUAGGUCAGUUGUUCAAUACCGCAUAUUAGUGUUUUUCGUAUUCUAAAGUUAGGUCAGUUGACCAUUAAUAUCACAUAUUAGCGUUUUCGUAUCCUAGUUCAAAAGUUGAUGGAAAAAAAAAAAAAAGAAGAUAACACCAUAUUGAUCAAAAGUUACUGAAAAAAAAGCCAUUGAAAUUGAGAUUUUGAAAAAGAACAUGCAGUACCAAAGUUAGGUACCUAAUCAUACUGCAAUGUCACCUAAAAGAAGAACGUCUUUUUGAAAGGUGGGCCACGGCCAUCCCUCCAUAAACAGCUCGAUAAGGUCAAAACCAUAAAUAGCGUUCAGAAAAAUGGGGCUUCAUACAUACGUGAGCCACAGGUAUCUGCAAGCAACGUUUUUAUCUUAUAGUUAUUAAUUUAAUUAACAAUAGGAUUAAGUAUAGGAUUAAGAUUCCUAAUUAUGGUAAGUCAGUAAUCAGAUUUUUAAGCUUGAGCACCAAUUGGAUUUUGGAAAUAAGUACCCUACCUAACCGAUCGUUUCUAAAUCGAGCCUAGCAAACAAUUUUUUUUAUUAUUAUUUAUUUUAUCAUACAUCAGACUUUUCUAAAUAGACUUUUUAUUUUGCGUAAGUUCUGUUAAGGUUUUAUAUUAAAUAUUAUCGAUAAUAACCUUUAAAAAAACAAUAUUUUCUUCUCACACAUUUUUGUAUGGAGGGUUCGCGCGAAAAAAAUUAAGUUUGGGAAGGACAAAAUAUAAUAUAUAAGCAUAAGAAUUAUAUAAGUAUUCCAAACUUACAUAUUAUUAGAGCCAAUUUUGUUUAAAAACUUAUUACUAAUCAUGCAUUAUACACAUUGAAGAGGGGGGUCACUAGCCUAAAACUCCAAGGUUUUUUUUUUUUCUUUUCAUUUUUAUCAUUUAUAUGCUAUCAAUAAAUCUUAUUUAUAAAACGGGUUUAGAGUUAAAACUCAUAGGUCAAGUUUGUGUUUAACACCAAUUAAGAUCACAUAUAUAUAUAUUCAUUUGAAUACAAGGCGAUAGUCUAGACUACAAUGAAAUGGAGGUUUCUCACACAUAUUACCAAAGUGUUCGAACCCAAAACCUAAUAUGCAAGUCAAAAUCAUUUUUCAUUGGGCUAAAUCCCGUUGGCCACAUAUUUUAAGAUAUGAUUCUACUUAAUUUGUUAAUCACAUCUUUAGUUAACUACCUAUAAGGAUGUAAACAACAUGUGAAAAAACAUUAAAAUGUAAUAUUAUUUGCUUUUAAAUACAUUAAAAAUAUUAAAAGAGAGAAACUCAUUACUAAAUCAGCCGAAAAUAAGCAUAAAAAUUAAAAUGAUAGUGGAGAACACCUGAAAAAAGUGGAUGAAGUUAAAAGGUUUUUUGUUUUCUCUGUUAUAUCAAAUUAGGUAUGUGGUGGUGUACAAGCUCAACCAGAUAUGCAACUAUGAAUAGAAAAACCAACGUAUAACAUGGGCAUUAUCGUCAUUUCAAGAAACGGUCGUAUAUAAAAGGGAGACGAUAUUUGCGUUAAACUUCCGUUUUUGCGUAUUUUAAAUAUUGGUCCACUGCGUCUCUGGCUAUUGGCUAUUGCUUCGGGCGUUUUGGCUUUGGGAUUCGCAAACAUUUGGUCACCAUCUAAAAGCGAAGGCAGGGAGAGAGAGAGAGAAAGCUUCAAAGUCCAAAAACCAUCGCUCAUGUUCAGCUGCUUAACACUUACUCUUGUGUAGCUGGAGCUUCUUUCGUUUUCCCAGGUAGUCUUUUAUAUAGCUGCUAUUUCUCUCUCUGCUCCUCAAACAAGUUUAAGUCUUUAUUUGCUUUUGGUUAAGUUUGUCUUAUUAGUGGAAUUGCUUUUGGUUUGAGACUUGAGUGGCUUUUGGGUUUUGGAUUUUGGAGCUGAAAUCAGCUCAAGUUUCCUUCUUUUGGGAAUCAGAGGGGAAGAAAGUCAAGUCAACUGAAAAGUUAGCGUAAGCUUUUUCUGAAUAAGAAAGCUGAAGAGCCUGUAACUGGCUGCAGAGCAUAUUGGUUCUCUGGAUGCGCUUUCGUUUUUGGGAAAAUGAAUGGAGGAUAUAAAUGUAUGCUCUUUCAGAUAUCUCUUUGAUUUUAAUUUGUUUUCAGAGGCACUUUUUAAAAAGAAAAAAAGACAGAAAAUAAAGAAUCUAAAUGAGUUUGGCACUAUGAGAAAUUGUAGCUGCAAUACCAAAAUUAAUCAUGUGAAGGACUUGUAGGUUUUGGGUGACUGCAUCUCUGAAAGAUCAUUAAGCAUUUUCUCUUCUGUUGUUUUAUGAGAUAUUGUGCAAAAUAUUGCUGGUUCUGCAAGAGUUGGAUAUUUUAAAAAUCCAUGUGUGCCCUGCUUUUCUUUGCCUUUGCUGGUUGAAAUUUCAUCUCUUCUGGUCAUAUUUUUCUUGGGGAUGAACCUGUUGUUGUAUUGGAGCCGAUCUUUUGUUCUUGCUGAAGCAGUUUUGGCACACAACAAAAAAGAAAUGUAGAGGGCGUUCUGGUGUAACUGUAGUGCAUCUGUGUCUGUGCUCAUGCUCUUAUUUUUCCCAUUAUAAGUCUAUGGUGGUCAUACUGUAGUUAUUUGAUUUUUAACGGAAUCAAUAGGAUUCCCACUUUUUCUUAUAUAUAUAUUUUUUUUCACGCCUUUAUAGUUUGAGUUCGAUCUUUGCUCCAAAAAGCCAUCUUGUGCACUUGAAACCUGCAUUUUGUAGAGAGUCUAUAAUCUCUUUGCUUUUAAUAAAUCAGAGGACAAGGAGUUUCCUGUUAUAUUUUCACUCACUCAUGUGACUUUUUACAGAAUCCUAUAUCGUCAUAGGCCUAUUACAAUUUUGGAGUGCCUGUAAUUGUGUAAGAAAAUCUUUUGGGCAUUAUGCAUGUCUGGCCCUGCGGCCAUUGACGAUAGCGCGGGAGAAGCACGCUCUUAUGCAGAGAGAACAAAAUCACUUGAUGCCAUUUCCAAAGAAGACAGAGAAUCCAUAUUAAAUAAUGGCGAAGUUGCUCAUACUUCUGAAAUUGCUGCCUUUAGAGUCAGGGAGCUAUUACUUCCAAAUAAGGAAUCCUAUUCGGGGCCGGUGCUUGGAAACAUCCCCGAGGGUAGGGGAAGGUAUGCCUGGUCAGAUGGCUGCAUAUACGAGGGUGAGUGGAGACGGGGGAUGAGACAUGGGAGCGGAAAAAUUAUUUGGCCUUCAGGUGCCAUUUAUGAGGGAGAAUUUUCAGGUGGAUAUAUGCAUGGUACAGGGACUUACAUUGGAUCAGAUAAGAUGACAUAUAAGGGGCGAUGGCGGUUGAAUCUCAAACAUGGUCUGGGGUAUCAAGUUUAUCCUAAUGGAGAUGCCUUUGAAGGCUCUUGGAUCCAGGGAAUGCCCGAAGGGCCUGGAAAGUAUACAUGGGUAAAUGGAAAUGUUUAUCUAGGAAAUAUGAAAGGAGGGAAGAUGUCGGGGAAAGGAACUCUCACUUGGACAAAUGGGGACUCAUUUGAAGGAAGCUGGUUGAAUGGAAUGAUGCAUGGAUUUGGAGUCUACACAUGGAGUGAUGGAGGCUUUUAUGUUGGAACUUGGACCCGGGGUUUAAAGGAUGGUAAAGGGUCAUUUUAUCCAAAAGGCAGCAGACUUCCAGCAGCAGAAGAACUUUACCUAAAUGCUUUGAGGAAAAGAGGGCUCUUACCGGAUUUAAGAAAACAGAACAAUGCACAUAUCCAUCAUGCUACUUCAGUGGAUAUGGGAAAUUCAAAGAUUGGAGAGAGCCAGGGAUCUCAUCGUGUUUCUGCUGAUAAAAUCUCUAACAGAAAUCUGUUAAAUUUGGAGCCGUCUCAUAGAAAUGUUUCCUUGGAAAGGCGUUGGAGCCUUGAGGUAUCUUUUGAAAAAGUGAUUGGACAUGAUUCAUUAGAGGGUGGAGAAAAAGAUGCUGGGACAGGGAUUCCAAUCUUGGAACGAGAAUAUAUGCAAGGUGUCUUAAUCAGCGAGUUAGUACUGAAUAAUAGCUUUACGUCAUCAUCUAGAAGGGCAAAACGGCGACAAAAGAAACUAGCAAAAGUGGUGAAGAGACCUGGUGAAGCAAUCAUUAAAGGUCAUAGGAGCUAUGAUCUAAUGCUCAGUUUGCAGCUUGGUAUAAGGUGCAUUCACUUUUCUUAAAUUCCUUAACUCCCUUAGAUUCUUUAUCUUUGAUUUUUAUACUUUAAAUUACUUAUAUUAUUUUGUCUUCAUUUAAAUUUGCAUAUAAUGCACGGUUUUUAUUAGAUUAUAUUGCUUGAUUAAUUCGUCCCUUCUGGCAUCAGCAACCUUUUCUCUGCUGGAUUCAGGACAAGCAUGAUCUCAUUGUGGGGAAAAAAGAAAAGAAAAGAAAACGGAAAGAAAAAAAAAAAGAUACAAAUAAGUUUUGUGUCUCUGUGAGAGUGGUUUGAGAAUCUUAACAGGUUUCUCCUGUAGGGUUGCAAAAAAAUUUCUUCUCACAUAUACCUCUGAAGUUCUUACCACCAGACACUUAAGUUAUUGUUCGUGGAAUUUUGAGACUGAUAUUCUCUGUAAACAAUGGAGAAUACAUAGUCCAAUGAUAACCACUGAUGCUCAUUACUCCUACCUCAUGUGCAUUGCAUAUUUUGUCUGCUGGAACUGAAUGCUGAAUUUGGAUUAAAAUGUGGCCAGGUAUACUGUUGGGAAGAUUACACCUAUACAAAGGAGAGAAGUCCGGGCAUCAGAUUUUGGCCCUCGGGCAAGUUUUUGGAUGAAUUUUCCUAAAGACGGCUCUCAAUUGACACCACCUCAUCAAUCGGUAGAUUUUAGGUGGAAAGACUAUUGCCCAAUGGUCUUCAGGUUAGUUUUCAUGUCUUGAACUUUGUCUUGUAGACUAUGUGUUUGUUUGAUGCAUUUACUGUAAUAUGGAUAUUUUCUUUUGUAUAAUGAAGGACCAACUAUAAUUUUGUAAUUUGCUUCUUACAAUUGACAUGCUGUCAGUGUUUUUUGGGAUUAUAACCAUGAGCCACUUUUCUUAUGAAAGGUGAAAAAGAAAAGAAAUACCUUCUGAUUGUUUACAUAUACGUAUAUACAGAAUCCUUCAAGUGCAAAUGUCCCCCUCAGAUCCAGCACACACACACACACAUGCACAUACACAGCUUGACUAAGAGCAUACAUAUAUACACAACUUGACCAAGACGUUACCCUGGAAAUUUAGUUUGUGUACUCAUCUGCAGACUCAUUUGUGUGUGUGUGGAUGGGAGUAUUUUAUACUGCUAUAAUGUUUUCAUGCUGUUUUGAAGAUACUCUGCUGCCUAUAAUUUCCUAAUACUUUAUCUGGACAAUGCAAUUGUUGCAGGAAUUUAAGGGAGAUGUUCAAGAUUGAUGCUGCUGAUUACAUGAUGUCUAUUUGUGGAAAUGAUGCUCUCAGAGAACUUUCUUCUCCUGGAAAAAGUGGUAGUGUGUUUUUCCUAUCUCAAGAUGAUCGUUUCAUGAUUAAGACACUCCGGAAAUCUGAAGUUAAGGUUUGUAUCACUGUCGGGACUCGUGCAUCUGCAUUUGCUGUUGAUGUACAUAAAUUACUAAAUGCUCAUGAAGUUUUCUUUUGUCUCCUUGUGUAACAUUUCUGUAUGAAAUUAUAAAUUCAUACUAGAACCAGUUAACUGCUUCCUUUGAGGUUUACCUGCAUAAGCAAAGAACUUUAUUUCCAUGAAUCCUGAAAGUCGAAGAGCCUUAGAUUCUUUGUUGUACAUUUUCAUGAUUUUGUUCUGUGUUAGAAUUGGUAAACAAAAGCUAUAAAGUGAAAACCGGACGUUUGAUAGAAAUUUACUUGUUUUAGAAUGAGCGGACAUGUCAUUGCUUAAUUACAACCGUCUUAGGAAUUGCUUGGUGCAUGAUGAAGCUGCUGUUUUUGGGUUUUAUUUUCAAAUAAGUUGGCUCCUUUCCUCCACCCAAGGUUCUUGAUAAAUCUUAUGUCUGUGCUUGGAGGACCAGCUUUAGCAAUUAGUAGAACUGUGAUUUCAUAAAUGUCUGUUAUGUACUUUAGUAUGCUUAUCUUUUCUGUAACAACAUUAUGCUCAUCAUGCAUUACAUUUGUAUAUGCUUUGUCAAUAAGGUAAUGUAUUAGCAGAAUUAUGAUACAGGUGCUAUAAUUGAAGUUCUGCAAUUUUUCUUUAAUCAUCUGGAGGUGUGGUAUGGUAACCGGUGUUCUGAUGUUGUAGGUUCUUCUACGGAUGCUUCCAAGUUAUCAUCAUCACGUAAGGUCAUAUGAGAACACACUCAUCACAAAAUUCUUUGGUCUUCAUAGGAUUAAACCUUCAAGUGGUCAAAAGGUAACGGGAACAGUGCCUUUAAAUUGUUAUGAGCUGCCAUGCUAGAAACGUGUUUCCAUGUUUUUGAUGCCAUAGCUGCUUUUAAUUUACAUUCCAAUAAAAAUAUCAUUUGAGGUUCUAUGAGCCUGAAUUGCCUUGUCUAAGAGCCAAUUCUAUAAUGAUUUGCCUUGUUCGUAUUUGUGAUGAAACCUUCUCUAUGAAUUUGAAUUGCUUAUUGUACUUCAAAGGCUGAUAUUCCUAGAUAAUAUAUGCUUUGCAGUUCCGCUUUGUAGUGAUGGGAAACAUGUUCUGCACAGAGUUAAGAAUACAUCGACGAUUUGAUUUGAAAGGUUCGUCCCUUGGUCGUUCUGCAGAUAAGAUUGAAAUUGACGAAAACACAACACUAAAGGACUUGGAUUUAAACUACUCCUUUUAUUUGGAACCUUCUUGGCGAGAGGCUUUGUUGAAGUAAGUGAUAAUUCCAGAUGUGCGUUGUCAUUUUUUGUUUCCCUCUGAUUUGUAGUUCCUACCGUAGGUGUAGAAAUGAGUUUGUAUAAUAUAGUAGACCCCUGGUUAUUUUUGGUCAAUUGGUUAUUUUUAAGUUUAAGAAAACAUAUAACCUAAGAAUUUAUCGUUAAAAAAUAUCUGUAGUUUUUUUUGAAUUCUUGUUUGUGUUGGCUUGAAAGAUUUAGUCAAGAUGAUUCUAAGUGCCAAAUUCGGUAAUUAGUUUCUCUUGUAACACUAUUAUGUGGUCGCGCGGUGCCCUCUUAGUUUCAUUACGGUCAUUUUUGGCCUGCUUAACAUGUAUGAUUCUCUAACAUUAGGUUUUAAUUUUUUCCUUUGUUGUUACGAUGUUAUUCAUUGUGUUUUCUUUCUUAUCAUGCAGUCAGAUUGAGAUUGACAGUAAAUUUCUGGAGGCACAGCACAUUAUGGAUUACAGCCUUCUCAUGGGAGUGCAUUAUAGAGCCCCCCAACAUCUGCGGUCUUUCAUGACCUACAAUAGAAGCACAAUAGCUGAUGGAUUAGAAAUACUCGCAGAGGAAGGUCAAUGUUGUACUUAAUGCACAAUUUAGUUGUCAUCCUUUAUUAUGCAGAAUUCACUUCUUUUUUUUGGGUUGAAGAGAUUGCUUUUUCCUUAUGAUUAGAGACUAACAUACAAAAGAUUUGCUUUUGGUGUUUCAAUGACAGAGACUCUGGAGGACGAAAUCUCCAAUUACCCUCAAGGCCUUGUUUUAAUCCCUCGUGGAACAGAUGAUGAUAGCGUUGUUGUGGGUCCUCAUGUCAGAGGUAGCCGACUGAGAGCAUCAUCUGCUGGUUAUGAGGAAGUGGAUCUCCUUUUACCCGGUACAGCAAGGUAUGAUCUACUGCACUAGAAUGCUUGUAUUGUCCUUGAAAGGCCUCAAGGGCCAUUUUCAUACCCUUCAGAGCUGCCUCAGAUGCUAUGGAGCUUUUUUAUAAAACUCAUGCAAAGAAUCUGUUUAGUCUUCUUUUGAGAAGCUAUGCAUCUGAAGUGAAAAUGACAACGAAAGGCAUUCUUAAUGCUCACGAAAUUUAUAAUACUGUAUGCACCCUUGUGGCCUUUGAACAAAUUUACUUCAUCUUUUUUUGUCUUCACAAUGCAGACUCCAAAUCCAGCUGGGUGUGAACAUGCCAGCAAGGGCAGAGCAGGUUCCUGGGGAGAAGCAGAUAUUUCCUGAAGUUUACGAUGUUGUGCUAUAUCUUGGGAUCAUUGAUAUAUUGCAAGACUACAGCAUGGGCAAGAAGAUUGAACACGCAUACAAAUCUCUUCAGUUUGAUUCCUUGUCCAUCUCUGCCGUGGACCCUACGUUCUAUUCCCAUCGCUUCUUGGAAUUCAUUCGGAAGGUGUUCCCUCCAAAUGCUUUAACAAGAUAAGAAUUUGGUGACCAGUGCAGAAAGAACCCCUCUUCUGAGAGUGAAUGAUAAGGCCUCCUGUUUGCAUGCUUUCGAGCACCAUUUCACAUAAGUGGCCAUAUGGAAUUUUCGGGAGGUGCAUCCGGAGAAGAAACAUCAUCGGUUAUGCCAGCAUGGUGAAGCGGAUGGGAUGGUUGACAAAUUUGAAUUUGUUUCUGUGCCUCUGGCUUUGGUACUUUUGGAGCUGCUGCAGCUUAGUACACGUACUUACAUCCUUUGUGCAAUUGAUUUAUUGUGUUUAAUCGAUCAGAGUUAUCGAACCUAUCUUUGUUUGCAUGGGUUCAUUCGCAUAACAAACGAUCUCGAGCAGACGAUCCAACAUUUUACCCUUUUACUUGAGGUCCAGGUUGCAUAUUCAAUUCCCUUUUUUCCAAUAUCAAUUCUAUAUAAAUUUAAGCAGGUGUAGUAUUCAGAAGCGAGCUUCUACUGAUCUGUAGCCAAUCACAUUUUUUGAAAUUGGUAUCACAACCAGGGAUUUUCAGACUUACUAGUAAAUACAUCGAUUAAAAGGAUGGAAUUGAUAAUCUAUCACAAGCUGGCACAAGCACUUCAACACAUCCAAAGGCAUUAUGGGUGGGCACCAUAGAUGCACUUAAUACCAUUUUUGGGGUCCAGCACAGAUACACUUAAUACCACUCAGCUCAAAAUGCACAAAAAGAAAUUACAUUAAACAAGAAAUUGCCGUAAGACAAGCUGCAAAAAUUCAAGCAGCGACACAUCUUCUCAAUGUCAACCCUAAUAUCGCUGUUUAUAAGGGAAAAACAAUGGUAAAUAUGACUUAUGAAGAAAUAAUCUAGGAACAUAUAUCUAACAACUAACGAUGUUAUUAAGGCUCAUUAAUCAGGUACAGCUUCAAUAAGUACGGCGUCAUUUUAGCUCACAUCAUUCUUCACAUUAAUACUGCAAGUAUGUUUACUGAGAUGCUGGAGGCUCCGGAUUCCCUUAGCCCAUGUUAGGAGGUGGUGGGGGUGGACGAAGACCCUGACCCUGCAUUUGUUGUCCUGGAAAGCCUUGUGGAGGUGGCAUUGAUUGAGGUCUUCCCAUCUGAGUGCCAGGAGUGAAAUUUGCCAUUGUGUUAUUACCAACUGGGGGUGGAGGAGGGGCAGGAGGAGCUCCACCAGGAGGCAUAGGCCUAGGGCCAUUUCCCAUCGGAGGAGGAGGCAGUAAAGAUCCAUGAAUCGGCGGAGGUGGUCUAGGAGGAUUUCCCAUUGGUGCACCAGGUGGCAGUCCUUGUGGAGGAGGUGGGGGUGGAGCUUGGGGUGGUGGGGGCAAAGGCCUUGAUGGAACACCAGGAGCACCCGGGCCAUUGGCUGCAGGGGGAGGUUGCGGUUUGUUUGUCUCUGGUGGCUUAGUUUUGAAAUAUAGCUGCAACUGCAUAUUGAUACAUUCCACAUGGAAAAAUUAGAAAAGAAAAAAAAAUCAACCAAUAAAAAGCAUAAAAGAAAUCCAUUUAAAUUAGAAGACUAACUGUGAACAUUUUUGAGUCUGGAUCCCAAUGUGAGAAAAACUUUUCAGGGGUUUUGUCAAUCUCUGUACUAGGAACCUGAAACAGAUACGAACAUGCAGGCCCAGUAAAUGUUCUGAAUCUAACAGUAAAAAAGAUAAAUACCAGAUGCAUAGAAAUAAGAUAUACCUUGAAAGCAAUUAUCUCAUAUGGUUCGGCUGCGAAGAGGAGAUACUGGUAUCUUUUGUCGACAGAUUGAACUCUCUGUGUUCAUGAAACAUUAACGUUUAAAAAGAAAAAAGAACAAUUCACCGCUUCAAUUAAGAAAAAGGGAAAAAACAGAUGGACAUGAAUUGCAGGCAAAAAGCAAAGUUUUCAGGAAUCAAACUCAGAUUUAAUAUAUAGAACCCUACCUGCUCAUAAGAUGACAUAAAACGGUGCCUAGGCUUUGUACUAUCUUCAAUCUCAGGAUAUUCAAUCUGCAGAGCAUACAAACAAUAACACAAUAUAAGCUAGGCCAUUUCUUAGUGUACCCUACACAUAUUUGAAUGAGAUCUUAUUCUUUCAGUAAAACACAUAUCACUGCACACAAAAAUACACAAACCCACAAACCUGGAAGAGAAGAGACCUCUGCUUUAAUUCUCCAUCGAACUGCUUUGUCACUCGAUACCCCGGCCUACCAAUUUUAACUGCAAGCAUACAUGAAAUACCCGUAUGAGUUAGCUCAAGACCCAAUUUACAUAUCAAAAUUACAUUCUACUCAAAUGCACCCCCCCAAUGUGGUUGUAUUUUUUUAAUUCGUGUUAAAAUUUUCAAACCCCAAAUUAAAUUAAGUUUCUCUAGUAUUUUACACAUCAAAAAAACCCCACCAAACAAUGUGAUAUGCCCACUAACUGUUCGACAAAAUUCGUGUGAAACAAAUAUGAAAUACACACCUGUCUUUCGCAAGUUGACUUUGCGUUUGUGAGGCUGGGGUUGAGCAGGAGCCUCCUUGGCCUCACGAGCAGCUCGCUUUGCCAAGUUAGUCUGAUGGCGCUUCCCCUGUGUAUGGGCCAAGUAGUUGCCCUCGUUGUUGUGCAGCGUCAAGCAAAGCUUACACUCAUAGCUACAAAACCCACCAAGAAUAAUCAACAAUAAGAUGAAAAGCUGUGAAAUUUGAGCAAAGAGAGAAAAAGGGUCAUACCUUCCAAGGUGGUUGCGCAUGAAGUAGGGAUCUUUGGCGAGAUCGAUGGUCUCGAGGGCGAGUCUCCGGAGACGCUCUCGGCGGUCGAUGGCUUCGUUUUGGGCGGAGGCGGCCCCUCCGCUGCCGGGCUUCGAACCCCAUUCUCUGUCCAUCUUCUCUGUUCUUGGCCACUGACUGUUCCUCUCGGUAUCGACGGGUUUACGAUUUGGAAGAACCUCCCUCCCUACUCAGCACAGUUGGUCCUGACUCGCUUACCCUUUUCCUAAUUUCUUUUGCAAGGAAAAUCCGGGUAUUGAGAUAUUAUUGGCCUUUAAGCCUUCUUGUAGUCAACAAUUGGGCUGAAGGGAGGCCCAACAAAAGAAAUUUGUCCAAUCCACUCGGGCAAUUUGGUGCCCAAAAUAAUAUGUAUGUUAUUCAGAAAGAAAAAAAAACCCUCUAAUCCGUAGUUCUUGUUGUAGUGGUUUUUCUUAUGUUGGAAAAUAUCUCAAAUUUAAACCCCCAUUUCUCCCAUUGAUAAGAGAAGGGAUACAAGUUUCUAGGACUAAUUCCUAAAACAAGUAAUACUUGUGAUACAUAUGGAUGAGAUAAGUUCGAUUAUUCGGAUGUUUUUAUGCAAGUUGGAGUUCAAAUUUCUAAGUUUAUAAUCCGUGCUAUACUUCAUUAGAAACUUUUAUGCAUGUAACACUACAUGAUAUUUUGACAUAUGAUGUUACUAAUCCAUAUUCAAUUUGUGCGGAGCACAACUUAGUUAGAUGGGCAUCUUUCUCUUGCAUGUACUUUCAUACUGCCUAUAUGUAUAUGCAUUUGUAUAUUGUGACUCUGUGUAAUACUUAUUGAUAAUAUAAUAAUAGUAAAUACUACUUUUCAGGUGGUUUGUCUAAAUGUUUGGUUUGUGAUGGCGAUGUUGGUUGCCAGGGUCAUGUGCUUCCCCUCAGUUUCUUGUAUUGUAAAGAAAGAGACACACCAAACAUUAAAAGGGCUAAAGCCUCUGCCUCCUUCUAAACAUCUUCUUCUUCUUCUGUAAUUGCUCAUCCUUCUUAAGUUUAUCUUUAUAUAUAAACCAAAGCACUUUUGUGUAAGGUCUAAAUUUAUUCUGGAACAUGCAACUUUAAUUAGUUUCAUUCUCAGUUAUGAGACACUUCAAAGUGGGGUACAAAUCUUUUGAGUAGGCAUAAAGAAAGAAGGUCAUUUUUUCUUAUUUGUUUUUUGGGAUGAAGCCGCAUUUCGUAGUGGUGGGAAGCUAAGCAUCAUUAGCUCUUAUGAUGAUGAUUAAUGUCACAAUAACAGGUGUUAUACUACACUAAAAUUAUGAAGCCCAAAUGAUGAUGCAAAGUUUUAUGCUACCAACUUGUACGACACUCGAAAAUAUUUUCAACUCUUAAAUCUUGACGGAAGCCUAAAAUGUUUUUAUGUUUUUGUAUUUUUAUUGAUAUAAGUAAUACGAGAUGAGGGAGAAUCAAUAACACGACUCAACAGAAAUGCAUAUUUUUAAUUAGUUAAGCUACAAUCCUCUAUAAAAAAAAAUGCAAACUAGAAACAGAAAAAAACAAAAUUGAAAACUGAAAUAAAGCGUGAAAUGUAAUUUUGGAGACAUGCCGAGUCUAAUUAGAACCUAAAAACAAAAAAAGUAAAAAUGCGAUUUUGGAAGGAAUGUCGGUGACAUAUUGGCAGGUGAAAGUGAAGAUAAUGGAAAUGGAGCUUUUGUUUUGUUUCGUAGCUCAUUAAUUUAAUGGUGGGAUCACUUCUUGUUUGGCGUACAAUGAUAGUGCCCCUUCACCAUCUCUUUGAUCAAUUUCCCGCGCUUGCAUGCAAUUUUUCCCUCUCUUCUUUUCAACUCAUUGUGUGGACCAAUGCCAUCAAAUCCCUUCCUGCAAAAUUCAUGUAAUAUUUUUUCACCAUUGUUAAAUUUCAUGUACUCAAAAUCAAAUAUCAAACAUAUAAUCAUUGCCAUGGUAGAUCACCAAGAAUUGGGAGGUGAGGCGAGUCAAAUUUAUAUUGAACAUGUGAAGUAAAGUAUUCUACCACUUAAGCUAAAAGUCCGAGAUUCCGAGAAGUCACUAUAUACUAUGCGUGAUUGAAUUCUCAUCUCUAUUAAUAUUUUAAUUUGUAAGUCCCAUUUGAUGAUGCUUUUCAGUGGUGUGCAUCAAAAGAAUCGAAUGUGGGACAGAACAGAACAGAACAUAACAUAACAGAACUGAACAGAAAGGAAGAGUCUAGGACAAAACCCCGUUAACAUGGAAAUCAGGAAUUAACAUAAAGAAAAGAAGAAAAGAAUAGAUACGUUGGUAGUUGUCAGAGGAUGUUGUUCAGGUAUAGCCGUUUUCUUUAGCUUUUUCUCUCUUUCACCUCCAAAAAGAUAGAUAGAUGCCCAUUGGCACCAUUACCACCUUUCCUCUUUUUUUCUCUCUCCUCUCUCUCUGUCUUCUUUUCUCUUCUCUUCCAGCCUUAUAUGCAUUUCUUUCACUGUACUUUUCAGAUAGAACAGACAUUGAUACUUAAGAAAAAGCUCUAAUCAUCACCAUCACCAUCACCAUCACCAUCACCACAUAGACACAGAGAGAGAGAGAUAGAAACACAGAAGAGUGAUCAAAUGGGUUCUUCAGGGCAGAGCAGUAACUACGAUCUGUCAUUCAAGAUCUUGUUGAUCGGAGACUCUGCCGUCGGCAAAAGCAGUCUUCUUGUUAGCUUCAUCUCCAACUCUGUUGACGAUCUUGCCCCCACCAUUGGUAAUAAUCUUUCUACCCCAUUUUUCUUUAUGUUGCUUUUAGCUUAGCAUUUCAUUUGGGAGCUGAUAAAAAUGUUGGGCAAUAAAACAUUUCGCUGAUUCUUUUGUUACUGCCAAUGAGAUGAACGGAUGAAGUGUUGGUAAGAACCCAAAGGGAGUUUAUUACUGUUGGAUCUAUGAUUGGAUUUUGAUAGUUGAAUAGCUGGAUUUCUUGUAUAUUAUUCUCAAUCAUAGGCUUAUGGCUCCUUACAUUUCCUGUUUCAUUGAUGUAAAUUGAACUCAAUUAGUGAGUUCAUAAGUCAAUAUGUUUGUGAUUAGAAAAAAAAAUUAAAUUUUUUUGUGAACUUCCAGAGGGUGGAUCAUAAAAAGUUAGUUGCUUGAAUGGUUUCUUCAUACGAAUCUUGUGCAUACUUUGGAUUGAUUGAGACAAUCAUUGUGUGAGGCAUUUGAUGGGUUUUGUUCCUUUGUUUUGUAGGUGUGGAUUUUAAAAUCAAGCUGCUCACUGUAGCUGAGAAGAGAAUUAAGAUGACAAUUUGGGACACAGGUAGUAAAUUAAACUUGUCCAUUCUUUCAUUCUAUGAUGCAAUUUUUAUCGAAGGUAGUCUAAAAUGCUUACAGAUUUCAGAGCAAAAACUGAUUUUUCUCAUCAUUCUAUAUGUUGAAAGUAUAACGAUGAAUUGAUAAAGUUCAUAACAUGACAAAUCAUAUUGUCUAUUGCAGCUGGACAAGAGAGGUUCAGAACAUUAACAAGCUCUUACUACAGAAAUGCACAAGGAAUCAUUCUUGGUAUGUUAUCAAAAGCCUCAUCAAAUUUUGUUGAGGAAAAUGUGGCAUGUGCUCUCACUUCUCUUAGUAGCGCCGAUUUUUCGUGUUAAAGAGAAAAAAGGGAGAAUAUGGUUCCCAUGUCUGGUUGACUGCUGAAAUGAAGAAUAUUUCGUAUCUAUGAUCUUUCCAGUGACAAUCUUGAAUUUUGUAUAUGGGCAUGUAUCAUGUCAUAUUGUUUAAGCCGGCAUCAUCCUACGCAAAUAUUUCAAAAAAAUUAACUCCUUUUCUUCAACUUCCUACAUUUUUAUUUUUCAUGUGUAUUUCUUAUUGAGCUAUAAGAAAUGGGAAAAUGGCAUUGAAGAAGUUUCCCCCUCAUAGGCAUAUAGAACUAUACCUAAUUCAAAGUUCUCAUAAUGCCUUGCAUACAAUACAAUAGUUGCCUGAUUUCAGCUAAUGAACAACUCCUCUGCUUUAUUUUAGUGUAUGACGUGACUCGGAGAGACACCUUUACCAACUUAUCAGACGUAUGGGCUAAAGAAGUGGAGCUCUACUCAACUAAUAAGGACUGUGCCAAGAUGCUUGUUGGAAAUAAAGUCGACAGAGUAAGUUUCAAAUCCUCUAUGUCUACUGCUUAAAAACUUGAUCCCAGAAAAUGAACAAGAAGUGAUCGAUGGUCCUCAACUUAGAUAAAAAGUUAUAGGGAAUUUGUCUCUAGCAGUAAGUUGACAGCCAGCAAAGGUCUUAUUACUUAGCUCCAUGCUUUUCAUUGUGUUUGUGUGUUUUGAGUGCUCACACAUUGAAAACCAAGACUCUUGAUUUGAAGUGAUGCAAUUUAGCGCAACUUUCGUUGACCUCCGUCUUACCUGUGCCCUUCAUCCCUGCCAGACUCAUAUGAUGAUGACAUGGCAUGAUUAAGGGGUACCUGCAGGCUCUCUUAACAUAUUUGAGAAAUCAAAACAUUGCCAGUUGGACAUGUAUUCAGUGCUCGUACACACCCAGAACCAGUAUCUUAGUCUGCAUAAUACUAGUCAACAUGAGUGAUUUUUCUAGUAGUAAAUCCUCAUGAAGCCUAGGAUCAUUAUUACAUGUUCCAUGUAGCCAAACACUUUUGCGGUCUCUUGAAGCAUGUUCUGUCAAGUCACAGACUUCUUUUAGGUUUCAUUUCUGUAAUUUUCUUUUUAAUCCUUUAUAAAUUUAUUAAAGCCUAAAUUUACUUGUGGAAAAGACGAGGCCUUUUUUAAUUAUCUCAAUCUUUUGAAUAAGUUAAGAAAGAAAUUCUAUGUGAUUUCAGGAAUCUGAAAGGGCUGUAAGUAGAGAAGAGGGGCUUGCUCUUGCAAAAGAUCUUGGAUGUUUGUUUCUUGAAUGUAGCGCUAAAACUAGAGAAAAUGUGGAGCAAUGCUUCGAAGAGCUAGCAUUAAAGGUACUUUUUGAGAAAGUUUUGAUAAUUUCAGAACUGAAGUUCUUAUGCAACUUCAUCCCUACAAACUUGUUGAUAUAAUUUUUGUUGUCGUAUUGCUAAGAACUUAAGAUCGAAAGCAGUCGUCGUGGGAUUAGGGAGAUGAUUGAGACUAUCUGAACAUAUGUGACAUUUUGUUCUGUUCUCAAUUCUAACCAACUGGAAUUCUGUAACAGAUAAUGGAAGUUCCUAGUCUCCUGGAAGAAGGUUCAACUGCAGCAAAGAGAAAUAUUUUGAAGCAGAAACAGGAAAAUCAAGCACCUCCUAGCGGCGGUUGUUGCUCAUAAAAUGCCGCGGUUUGCAUUGCACCUUAUAUGAAGCUUGACUCACAUCAUGAACAGAUCAUGUAUAUGUAAUUUCCAUUUUCUUUCCUCUCACUGGUGGUGUCAAGUUAUUGAGUUGCAUAAUUGUUUGUUUCAAUUAAAAUAGACAAAUUGCCACUCAAAUAGCUUUCAUAUUAGCUUGUGUAAAUGUGCUUUCCCUUUUUUUCAGCCAUGUUAUGAAACCAGAAUUGAUUGUAUUUUUCACAUAAGAAAAAAAAAAAUUACAUGAGCGCUUUCUGAUUCCUAUGCCCAGCACAAUGCUACUCAACUGUUAUUUCCAGAUUAACUAUAUCCUAAAAGCUAGAACUUUUUGUAUUGCAACAUUUAAUACAUACACAUGGACAUGUUGGGAUGCUGCAAUUUGAAAGGACCCCACUUAUAGACACAUAGUACAAUGUGCCAUAAGUUUUCUGAAGAUUUCUACAUGUCCUGUUAUGCAAGAUCAUUUAUCCGUUGAGAAAUCAAAGUGAAAAUAUAAAGAUAUAUGACAUCGAUUAUCUUAUUUUAGCCCUUCAAAUAAACGGAUGACAUACUCAGAAAAUGAAAAUUAAAAUGAAAAUGUUUUAGGUUUCUAAAUCAAAAUUAUAGAUGUUUGAAGAUCUAAUUCAAUGUCACCAAAAUGAUUUGAUGGAUUUUCUAAAAUUAAAUUGUAAACUAAACAAUAAUUAGUUGCCCUCUUAUCACUUAUUUUGUUAUUACAAACGUUCUAAAUCCAUUUUUAAUUUUGGGAAAUGGAAAAGAGAGCAAGUUAAAAGAGUGUAUUAAUGGAGAAUAGUUUUUCUUGGCCAAAAUUAAUAGAAAAUAGUUUAAUAAGAUAUGAAUAACGGGAAAUGGACCAUGAUGGUGAGUUUUUUUUCGGUUUUGCAUGUGAUGGACAUGUUGGACUUGAUGUUCUGGGAACUGAACUUGCUGCGAUGCUGGAAGGUUUGUUAAUGGCUUUGUGGAGAGGUUACCAAAAUUUUCUUUUGGCUUCUGAUUCUCAAGAGGCAGUGUCACUUGUUAUCGGAUCUGGUGAAUGUUGGAGCAAUCUAGGCAAUUUGGUUGAAGAUGUGAGGAAUCUAUUGGUGCAUUUGCAAGUGCGUGAAGUGUGCCUUUUGGCUCACUUCGGCUUACGUUAACGGUGGCGAUUGUUUUGGGCUGGUGUACGUUAGUGGUGAAUAGAGAAGAUGCUUAGUGCUUUUGAGGGAGGUGUGUGGACUCUUUUUUCUUGACCGAAAUUUCCUCCACUGGAGUUUUCAAGGCAAGGUUUUAUGAGGUCACCAUAAGUGCACCUAGUGGGGGACCUAUUAAGGCGCAAGGAGGUGCAAUUGCACCUCUCCUCGUCGGAAAAACCAUUGUAGGUGCUUCAAAUUGCUCAUUUGCUCAGCUGGUAGUGGUACACAGUUGCAUAGUGCACAGAUUACCUUAUUUCCAUUUUCAACACUUAAGUAAAUGUCUUUGUCCUUUUACUUUCAUUUAUUUUUAUAUUACUCCAUUUACCUAAAUUUACAAUGUAAAUAAGGAAGUAUCCCUCAUUUAGAUUCAAAUAAAAAUACUAGAAAAUCAAAUUCCCAUCAAAUCAAAAUAUGAAAAAUCGGUUUAGUGCAAAAUAUGAUUUAGGCUAAAAAUGAUAGCACAUUAAGUCAAUAUAUACUUCAUAAUAAAAUCUCAUAAAAUCCAGUUUUUUUAUUUGAUGUGUAAGGAAUAAAAGCCGCCAAAAAUGAUCUUAAGAAAAUGCAUGAAGGGACCUAAGGUCAAUCUAUGUAAAAAGCCUUAGAUGUUCAAUCCACAAAGAAUUUUUAGUCUUACAAAAUUGCACCUCCGCUAAAAAAUUUCUAGAUCCACCAGUGGGUGCACCUCCUUUCUCCAGUUUUUCUUGAAUGUUAUUUUGAUUGUUUCUUAAGAAGUAAUAAAGUUGUUUAUUUGAUAUAUAAAAAAAAAUUGGGGAAAUGGUAAUGCUAGCAAAUAAAUAUUUGUACCAAUUAUCAGCAGGAAGUAGUUGUCAAUGUAAAAAUAAUUUGAUUUGAGGGUGGUUUUUAGUAAAUAAAUAUUUUGUAUCAAUUAUGAGGUGCAAUGAGGAAUUUUAUAGAUGUAGAUAGCAAUGUUCGAAAAAUCGCUAGGCGAUAGGCAGUGGCCUGGCGGCCAGAAGAGUAAUCGGGCCUAGGCGUUUUUUUCAAUUUUUUUUUUAAAAUUUAUACCAAAAUCAAGCAAAAUAAAAGGAUAUAUAAAUUAUUAAAAAAUCAUAAUUGAUAUAAAACAUGGGUAAAAGUUACUACAAAGAAAAAUACUUGAAAUGAAACGCUAGGCCUCUAAAUCUAACUCUUCCUCCUCCUCUCCAUAUCUCUCCAAGAAUAGGUUUUAUUUAAACUCAAGCACGAAAAAAAAAAGGGACCCAACCCGCCUAGGCGGUUUUUUUUAAUUUUUUUUAAUUUUUUAUUUGUUGGACGAUUUUUUGAACACAUAGAUAGUAACUGGGUUCUAUUUUUAUCUUAUCGAACCCCUGAAAAUUCACCAACCUUGCGCCGAUAUUGCAGAUACUUUGAUUUUUCUUCUUCCCGUUCCACUCAGUUGACAAACUCAAGGAGCAUCUCAGGCGAAGUAAUGGCGGUGCCUCUCUUCAACCUCGCUCCCAAUCUUACCGACUCUGAGUCUGAUUCUUUGGCCCGCUCACUCAUCCUCAAAUAUAAAUUCAUUCUUCGCAGGGAGUCCCAGGGACGAUGACUUUCGGCGAGCAAAACACGUUUCCGGAGUCGUGUGGCCUCCUCGACCAAGCUUUCCUGUCCGGCAUCAAUUUCUUCGACUCUACAUAAAUGUAUCCAGUGGUUCAGCGAGCCCAGACUCAGGUGAGGGGAGGAGCGAGGAGCGUCGUUUUGGCCACCAAAGUUGUAAAGUAGCUGUGAGAGUAUCAGUUCAUGCUAACAAUGGUGUGCCAGCUGGCUUUUCACUUCUGAUGUGUGAAAAUUUGUUCUGAUAUUACAGGUACCGUCUGGGCAGAUGACUUGGAUACGAAAUGGUCCCAAGUGUUUGAAUGCUAAGAAUAUCACCGAGGCCAUUGUCGGCAGGUUUGCUAAAGCAAACAGUUUGUAAUUUUUCUUCUGUUUAAACAUUUCGUGUUAUGCUGCUUUGAGUGAUGAGUUAUGUAAUGUUUAAAUGCAGCUUAACGCGAUUGCAGACAGAUUACAUUGAUCAUUGGCCUGAUCGGUUUGUAUGAAGAAAAGUGUUUUCGGAUUUUGCUUUCACAUUACUCUAAAUUGGCAGAUUGACAUGAAUCUGCCCCUCUGGGUGAGAAAAUGAUAGCCAUACCUUUUCACUGGUUUUGUUUCAAUGUCAUGUUUACGUCUUGUUGGUACGAUGCCCAGUGCUUAUUAAUAUUUUUUUUAAAGGCAAUAAUUACUUUUGAUUAAGUGCAUGCGUGCAUGCUUGGGUGUGGGGGUAUAUACAAGCCUGGGCUUCUGCAUCUGUGCCAUAACAGUUCAUGAAUAUCUAAAAGGAAAAUUAUUUUGAAAAUUAUCUCUAGUUCCAGCAUUUGGUCUCUUUACUGCAUGUUGUAGUUAUCGAAUAUUGCCCGUCGCAUGUUGAUUUACUAAUCUGCUUUUAUUUCCUUUCACAGGAUAUAUUGAUAUUGCAGGGAAGUACAGUGUUCAUCCAGUAUAUCUCUUGCAAUAGGUUCGACACCUCUCCCUCCAAUUCUUUAUAGUUUCAUCAUGUUCUUGUCCACGUUAGGGCUGUGGUUUGGAGACUUAAUGGGGGUCCUGCAGUACAGAUGCUCGGUAGAUUCUAGAGGUCAAUUUUCAAAUUGUUCAUCUCAUCUUUUGAUAUGUAGGAACUUAGAAUACUAAAAUAAUUUUCUAGGAUUUUUAAAUAAUUGAAACUACUUUUAAAAUAAUUUAAAUUCCACAAAACUUUUUAAGAUAAUUAAAUAUAAUUAAUUACAAUUUUUGAAGUAAUUUUUGAAAUUAAUUAAAAUAUUUAAGUACUAAUUCUUCACUAAAUAAAAAAUAAUUAUAACAUAAUACAUUUAACAUAAUACAUUUAAAUAUAUUGAGUAUAACCGCCCGGCUAUACCAUUUAAAUAUUCCAGUAUAUUUAACAAGUAUAGCCGUCCGGCUAGACUGUUUAUUUAAAGAGUAUAGCCGAUCGGCUAUACUCAACCUGCCCAGGCCGCCUGGGCGGAUUAAAUUUUUUUUUUUUUUGGUUGGACGAUUUUUCAAACCCCUGAAAAUCCACCAAACUUUACGCCGAUAUAGUAGGUACUUUGAUUUGAUUUUUCUCCUUCCCGUUCCACUGACAGUUGACAAACUCAAAAGAGCUUCUCAGGCGAAGCAAUGGCGGUGCCUCUCUUCAACCUCGCCCCCAAUCUUACCGACUCUGAGUAUGAUUCUUUGGCCCUCCCUCUCAUCCUCAAAUACAAAUUCAUUCUUCGUAGGGACGAUGACUUUCGGGGAGCAAAACACGUUUCCAGAGUCGUUUGGCCUCCUCGACCAAGCUUUCCUGUCCUGCAUCAAUUUCUUUUCUUGGACUCUACAGAAAUGUAUCCAGUGGUUCAGCGAGCCCAGACUCAGGGUCAGGGGAGGAGUGAGGAGCGUCAUUUUGGCCACCAAGGUUGUAAAGUGGCUCUGAGAGUAUUAGUUCAUGCUAACAAUGGUGUGCAGCUUGGUUUUCACUUCUAAUGUGUGAAAAUUUGUUCUGAUAUUACAGGUACUGUCUGGAAAGAUGACUUGGAUACAAGAUGGCCCCAGGUUUUUGAAUGAUAAGAAUAUCACCGAGGCCAUUGAUGGCAGGUUUGCUAAAGCAAACAGCGCAAACAGUUUGUAAUUUUGCUUAUGUUUAAACGCUUCGUGUUCUACUGUGCUGAGUGAUGAGUUUAUGUAAUGUUUAAAUGCAGCUUAAGGAAAUUAAUUAAAAUAUUUAAAUACUAAUUCUUCACUAAAUAAAAAAUAAUUAAAACGUAAUACACUUAAAGCGUAUGGCCGAGCGGCUAUACCAUUUAAAUAUUCGAAUAUAUUUAAAGAGUAUACCCGCGCCGCUAUACCUUUUAAAUGUUCGUAUAGAUUGAAAUAGUAUAGCCGCUCGGCUAGACCUUUUAAAUAUUCGAAUAUAUUAAAAGUGUACAGCCGCUCGGCUAUACCGUUUAAAUAUACCAAUAUAUUUAGAAACUAUAGCCGAGCGGCUGUAUGCUUUUUUUUUUUCUUUUUUUUCCCCCGAUAUUCCUUUAUCGAUAAAAGUAGUUUAGAGCAUUAUCCAUUACUAUUAGGCCAUUACCAGAGUCUUUAUUAUACCUUUUUGAUUUUUUACUUAAUACAAAAAUGAAGAAUUUAGCAUUUUCCGGUUUAAUAUUUUGUAUUAUACACGUAAGUAUGUAGUUUUUAAUAAUACUUCUGUUUUUCGUACACGUCUUAAAGACUCGGUGAAAUAACGUUUAAAAAAACCAAGGUAUGUACAUAUUUUUCAUAUUUAAUACAAGUGUUUUUUUACAAAAAAUUCAAUAAUGCACACAAAAUUCAAGUAUUGUACAAAUAAUUUUCACAUAUUCUUGAAUAAAAGUAAUCGAUAUUAAAAUAUUAAAAUAUUAUAUAUUGGCCAAACUUUUAAGUUGUAACUUGCCAAAAUUUUGCAGAAUAAACACGUACAUAUUUUAUUUGUAUUUUUUUCUUUCCGUAUUUUACUAACUAUGAAAGAAUGUGAGAGGCUAAGAUUAUUUCUUACUUGUUGUAACAAAAAUGCAAGAUGGUGAUUUUGCCAUCUCUUUGCCAACCAGAACAACAAUUUCAAACAAAAUUUAUGGGUAUAGAAGUAAGAGGUGGUAGUAUUCUUCAUGUAAAGUGUUGUUUGAAAAGUGAAGCAAUUACCAAGACCACUCCAACUCAUCAUGCAAUUCUCUACGACAAGUAAUGUGUGUAGUAACAUAAUUUAGUAGUACUAGAGAGAACGAGGUGGAUCAAAGGCAAACAUUCCCACGAAAAAAGAAGAAGAAAAAAUUGAACUCUCAAAUUGAUUUAUUGUGAAAUUUCUCUUUCUUCAAUAUCUGCUUUGGAUAUGUUGAAAUUAGCAAAUUAAUAACUAUAAAGUAUAAAGGAAGUAGGCCACAAAAUUUCAAAAUUGCUAUAGGGCACCCUUCUUUGCAAACUCUCAAACUAGAAAGCUUUUGAUUUGCUUCCAGUGUAACCUCUCUCUGUUAGCUGUCUUUCCCUAGCAGAACGGUUGCUUGCAAUACACUUAUAGUGGGACCUAAGAGGGGCACAGUAAAGGUUUAUCAGUCUAAUGAUUUUCGAAAUCACAUCAAUUUCAAGUAAAGAUACCAUUGUAUACAAUGUAUCCCACUUGUUAUGGCUGAAAAUCCACGAAAACCAACCCAGUUUGCAGUGGGACUCUCUAAUGGUGAGCUCCCUGUCCUGAGCCUUUGGAAGAUGAAGAUAAUGAUAACAGAGAGAGAGAGAGAGAGAAAAGAGAGUUGAAGAAGAAAGACAGUAUUUUUAGAGAGAUUUGUAUAUUGAUCCUUCAUCAUGACUGACUACAAUAAUGACUCUGUUAUAUAUAUACAGAGUUCAUCCUAGACUGAUAACAAUCUAACUAGUGUCACAUGCUUUGACACUAACUAACUCCUCACUAUUAUUACAGUUAUCAUUCCCCCUCAAACCCAGCUGUGGUGGGUAUCCUAAUCUCAGAUGUGCACAAUGUUGUGAGAAAAUGGGACUAUGCAGACCUUUGGUAAACACAUAGGCUAGCUGUUCUUCGGUUGGAAUAUAUUGUACUAUAAGAUCUUUUCUCUGCACCUUUUCCCUUAUGAAAUGAAAAUCAAUAUCUAGGUGCUUGAUCCUGGAGUGGUAUACUGGAUUGGAACUCAAAGCUAUGGCAGACAGUUGUCACAAUUCACUAUAUUUGCAAAUCCUGCAAAACUUGUCGUAUCCAAAAAAGAUCUGCCACAUUGUUUGCCAAGGCUUGAUACUCAGCUUCUGUAGAACUUCUAGAAACUGAGCUAUGCUUCUUUGAUUGCCAAGAUACAGGAUUGUGACCCAAGAAAACUACAAACCCAGUAGUUGAUCUCCUGGUACUGAUGUCCCCGGCCCAAUCUGCAUUACUAUAUGCAGUGAGGUGCCAAGGGCCACUAGUAAAACUGAUACCAUGCUUCAGAGUGCCUUGAACAUAUCUCAAUAUUCGUUUGAUCAAAUGAAAAUGAACAUCUGUUGGUGCAGUCAUAUAUUGGCAGGCAGUAUUCAGAGCAUAAGCUAUAUCCGGUCUUGUAAAUGUCAAAUAUUGCAAAGCCCCUACAAUACUUCGAAACAUAGUAGGAUCUGACAAGACCUCACCUUCUUCUUUCAACACCUGUGUAUGUGGUUUACAAGGUGUAGGACAAGCUCUGCAAGAGGUCAUACCAGAUUUCUGCAAUAAGUCUUUAGCAUAUUUUUCCCGACUAACAAAGAUAUCCCCUGAGUCACUAUAAGUAAUCUGUAAUCCCAGAAAAUAAGUCAACUUCCCCAUAUCUUUCAUUUCAAAAACAGAACUCAAGUCAUCAACCAGAGUCUGAACCAACUGUUCAUUAGACCCUAUGAGAAUUAUAUCAUCGACAUAAAGAAGCAAUAUCACAAUCUCAGAAUCAACAUGCUUAACAAAGAGACUAGGGUCUGAAUGUGAAGAUUUAAAACCUAAAGCAGGGAGAUAGCCAGUAAACUUGGCAUUCCAAGCCCUUGGCGCCUGCUUGAGACCAUAUAGAGACUUCAGCAGUUCACAGACAAAAUGGGGAUGAACAGGAUCCUCAAAUCCUUGUGGUUGACACAUAAACACCUCCUCGUCCAACUCACCAUGCAAAAGAGCAUUUUUACAUCAAGUUUUCUUAACUUCCACUUGUGCAUAGCUGCAAUACUCAAUACCAAUCGUACUGUGGUUUGCCUUACCACUGGACUGAAGGUUUCUCCAAAGUCGAAACCAGGCUCUUGACUAAAGCCCUGAGCUACAAGUCGAGCCUUGUACCGUGCUAUAGAACCAUCAGACUAUCUCUUGAUUUUAUAAAUCCAAUUACUGCCGACAAUAUUUUUAUUACCAAACACCAAGUACCUUGCAUGUGAAGAGCCUUGAUUUCCUCCUUCAUAGCAUGUUGCCACUCAGGUGAAUAAGAAGCCACUCGAAAACUAGAUGGUUCAUCAAGAGCAGUCACUGAAUUCACACACGUAUAAUAACCUUGAUACUCUGGAAAUUGUCUUUUCUGAACAAUACCAUCUUUUGCUCUUUGUCUGCAUUGGAUGAUGAUUUUGUGGGCCAUUUAAUGUAGAAGAAGAAUCACUGGAUGAGAGAGGAAGAAUAACCUCGAGUUGUGCAUCAGAAAGUACAGGUAUAUAGUCUUGAGAAGCAACUGGUGGAUCUGAGAAAGGCAAAGAAUGAUGCAAGUCUGCAGAUACAUUAUUAGAAGAAGAAACUGAUCUUGAAACAGAAACUGAUCCUGAGGUAGAACCAGACUCUUGUGAAGUAGAUGAAUCAUGUUGUACAAUUGGAGAAGGCAAUGUAACAACAAUAGGUACAGUAGGAACAGUAGGAACAGUAACAGGGACAGAUGCAGAAGUAGCAUGCUUACAAGGAUAAUGUAGCUCAUCAUGAAUCACAUGCCAUGAAAUAAUACACUUCUUAGUGAGCAAAUUGUAACAUAUAACCCCUUACAGCAAGUUGGAGAGCUGCCAGCCUGUGGAAUCCGAGGGCAUUGUCCCAGCUUGAAAAAGCCCUUGGUGUGUGAUCUCUAGAUAAUAGAGGCCUAAACAUAAUAAGAUCUCAUCUCUAGAUAAUGUACGCUAUGGUGUUUAGGCAUUUGGGGCAGUAAAUUAUAUGAAUCUAAAAUAAAUAUGUUAUGGAAAAUAAAAUCAGGACUUUAUUGGAAAAUUUGCAGCCAUUAUUUCUUUUAAGUUUUAACUAUUCUUUCCUGCGCAAGGUUCAUUCUUUCUUAUGGAACGGAUGCGCCUGGCUACCAAUCAGUGUCGUUGGCCAAUCGCGACUAGUGUAAAUUUCGAUCGACGCCCAUUUUUCACCUAAGCUUUAGGUUCACUCUCGGGUUUUGGAACAUGGCCGGAAACUUGAGAAUUAAAACUUAAAAUCUAAGCUCGUUACCCUAACAUAUAUUUCAACUCUGUCAAGAAUGGAGUGCAUUUAAAAUCUAAGCUCCAUAGUCCAUACCCUAAACUCUAUAAAGGAUGGAGUGCAACUUUUAUUUCUCUUUGCCACCACUCACCAAGAGCCACUUGUUUGUAUGAAUAUAUUGACACGAUUAUUACACAGUUAUGCUGGGUCGAGAUUGAGUCCACAUGAUCUUGAUCACAUUUCAACCUUGUCACUUGAGCCAAAACUCACCAAUCUCUCUUUGACAAAGAAGAAAAGGUUUGGGAUCACUAGUUAUAAGUUUGGGCUCGAGUGGGAUUGAAUCUCUAAGAAAAAUUAAAGAUAACCAAUACAUGAUCUGAUCUGCAACUAAAUAUAAGAAAUAGGAGGGUAUCCGUUAUUAGUGGCAACCUACAAGCAGGAGGAACCCUAUGAGGGUUCAUAAAAUGCAUAUUUACUUGAGUUAAACAUUAGAGUCAAUUUGAUUGCUUAAUUAAUGUCUCAAAAGAGAAUACAUCUUCAAGCAUCUACCUUUGCCGCUGCGGAUGCAUAACUUACGCUGAUGUCCCUCAUAGUUUUGCACUGACUCGGCUACUCAUAUCGGAGAAAAUUGAUCUUUAUGCUCGUUGAACAUUUCUUCAGCAUCUGAAUGCAUUGAAAUAUGAUUGAAAGGGAUGACACAAUGAUCAAAACCAAUAUUCAAAAGAUGAGAUGACUCAACAAUUGGAGCCCCAGAAAGCAGCAUACUCCUUUUGGGUCAGUUAACCAGACCAACUCACUUUGUAAACAAUCAAAACAACUCAAGGAACAUGAAACUGAAUAUUUAGGUAAAAGAAUAUUUGUUCAUCAUCAGCUUCCUAGCAACCAAACAUAACAUAAACCAAAACAGAAAAUGGAAAAUACUGAUUUUCAAUUGCAAUUUCUUAGCUUCUCAUUAGUUUUGUCUCUGGAAAUUCAGAUAUCAAGGCUGGUCUACACAAAUGGAGGUGAUGCCAUUUUGGUGUUAGCAUCAAAUGGCAUUCAUUUUCUCUGGAAAUGGCCAAAGGACCUUAAUUCUGGUGGAGUGGUAAACAAUGACAUGCUUUAUAAUUCUUUCCUAUUAGAUUUCUCCUCUCUUUCCUUUCGAAAUUGAAACCGAAGCGAUAGUUGGUCAUUUGAUUCUGAUGAUAUUGAUUGAAUGCAGGCAACUCCCAAGGUUCACCCUAAUUUAUGGAAACCAAGGAGUGGCUGAUGAACAAUGCCUUCCCAGCACCAACCCUGAAGAAGAGGCUAUGUUCUGCUUUGAUUUGUCCAAGAAUGAUUCAUAUCUCAUAUCACCAACAGGAGGGAUGAUCUCUAUUUUUGAGUAUUUGCAGAGAUGCCAGACCCGCCAAGAAAAAAAAAAUUCUUAGAAAAAACGCCAUACAAGUUUUCGAAAAAUCGGCCGCCUAGGCGGUCUAGGCGGUCUCGGCGGGUUCUUUUUUUAUUUUAUUUUAAUAAAUAUUAUAGCCGCUCGGCUAUACUAUUUAAAUAUAUUAUUUAAAGAGUAUAGCCGCGCGGCUGUAAGCCUUAAAUAUUCGACUAUAGCCGAGUAUAGCCGUGCGGCUAUACGCUUUAAAUAUAUCAUGUUUUAAUGAUUAUUUAUUUAAUGAAUAAUUAGUAUUUAAAUAUUUAAUUAAUUUCAUAAAUUACUUCAUAAAUACUAAUUAAUUAUUUUUAAUUAUCUUAAAUAAUUUUGUGAAAUUUUAAAAUGGUUUCAAUUAUUUAAAAAUCCUAGAAAAUUAUUUUUGUAUUCUAAAAAUGGAUUUUAGCCUCUAAACCCUAAAUCCAAGUCUUGAACAAAAAACCAUAGUUUUUGGGGACUGUUACUAUUGGUAAUGGCGGUGUUUUGCGAAACAUUCAUCACCUUGUUGCCGAAGAAUAUUGGUAAAGUGAAAGGAGACAAUUGAUUUGCCUCUCAAGAAUUUUAGAGUUGCUUGUUAAAAUUUGGGGACGAUUUGUUGUAAACACAAACUUUGAGAAUUUUGGCUGAAUACAAAAUUGUAAUGAUAAUUUUGGUUUAGUAAUUAUCUUUGCGAAGUGAGAUUGACGGCCUUUUUUGUACAUUUGUGGCAUCAUUGCUAUACGAAUUAGCCUUUGACUCAAAUAAUUUCUCUUGAAAAAAAAAAACAAUUAUGAUCUGCCUGAGGUAACUAUAAAUUAAUCCAUCUGGGCUUGGAAUUGUGAAUUGUAUAUACAGUUCAGUGUUUCUAUAAGUGUACAAUUUGGUCUGAAACUCAAUAACCAAACUUCUUAAAUUGACUGCUCCUUCUCCAUCUUUUGAAAUUGAUGCUUUCAUUCUUUUGAGAAACUAUAUCUGGAGGCUUUCUUUCAUGUAUGUCACAGACUCUCAAUACAAAUAUACACGAGGGAAUUGUUUAUCAAGCCUAAAAAAGAUGCAAAAUUUUUCAUGUUCUUCCCUUCCAACAAUGAGAGACACAUUAAUCAAUGGAACCCAUCACAGAGCCUUUUUGAGUUCUUAGUGAUCAUUAAAAAGUUCCCAACCCUCAGCAGUAUGCAAAACUGAAGAUUAUGACCACACUUUCAACCUAACCCUCUUCGUCACACAAAACCAAUUGAAGAUCAGGAAUGUAUCCACUUUCUUUGAUCAAGCUUGACAGAGAAUUUAAACUUGCAUAAAUUACGUCUGAUUGAAGGUGUGAUGUGUCUCCAGCAACGAAACAAUGGACCUGGCUUUGAACAACAAUCCAACUUACUCCGGGAGGCUUUUCUAAACCCUUUUCCCUGAGCCGUGUUCUUAUCAGCCUGACCUCCAUCCACAGACCUGCUGCAGCAUAUAUAUUAGAUAUCAGAACAUAAUUCCCUGCAUUCAUCGGUUCUAAUUCAACAAGUUUUUCAAAUAUGGUUCCAGCUAACUUCGUGGCAGAAUGAAGUCGACAAGCAUUGAGCAAGGCUCUCCACACUGAUGCAUCUGCUUCAACAGGCAUUGAUUCAAUAAACUCUCUACCUUCAUCUAAGCGGCCUGCACGACCAAGAAGGUCAACCACACAACCAUAGUGAACAAGCUCAGGUGAUAUCUUGAAAUCACGUACCAUAGUGUGGAAAAGCUGCAAUCCCAUCUCUAUCAAACCAGAAUGUCUGCAAGCAGAUAGAACAGCUACAAAAGUUGCUCCAUUUGGUCGAAAACCAUCUUCUAACAUUUGUAAGAACGCAUGAAUAGCAUCAUGUCCGUGACCGUGCAUGCUGUACCCAGUAAUCAAGGCAUUCCAUGAGAUAACAUUCCUCUUUGGUAAAAUUUUAAACAUCUUUUCAGCAUUUUGCAUGCUACCACUUCUUGCAUACAUCGAUAUAAAAGCAUUUGCAAGAGACAAAUCAAAACCAAAUGAGAAUUGCCUCCGAUUUGCAUAAGCAUGCAAGCAUUGACCUAGAGGCAGAGAGGCAAGCUGGGUACAUGAUGAUAGAAUAUUUAUGAUUGUCACAGAGUUGGGAUUCACUUCUGAAAUCAUACGGUUAAAGAGUAACUGAGCUUUGCCAAUUUCGUUGUUUUUUAUGUAACUUGCAAUUAAAGCAUUCCAUGAGAUCACAUCCCUACUGGGACAGCCCUCAAAUAGAGUCCUAGCUGCUGCUUCAUCACCACAAUUCAUGUACAUAUCUGUUAGUGCAGUGUUCAAAGAUAGGUCAGCUUCAAUACCAUGUUUUAUCACAAAACCAUGAAUUGCUCGCACUAUAUUUAUACAAGUUUCAUCUUCACAAGUAGCAAGGAUAGAUAUUAUUGUGUGUGAGUUAGGUUUGGUGUCAGAUUCUCGCAUCACCCCAAAUAUUUUCCAUGCUUCAUCUUGCAAUCCAUUGCAGGCUAGUGCCCUGAUCAGAGUGUUCCAUGAGAUAACAUCCGAGUAUUUCAUCUCAGCAAAAACCUUCUGAAUAGAUUCAACACAGUUAAAUUCAGCAUACAUACUCAACAAUGUAUUUGCUAGAGAAGCAUCCAUUUUCAUCCCACUCUUUCUUGCAAGAGCAUGCAAACUUUUACCGUUCCUCAAGCCAUCAGCUAAAUCUUCACAUACCGACAACAUUAUAACAAUAGUUCUCUCGUCUUCUCUGAUUCCUUCCAUUCGCAUUUUAGAAAACAAGCUAAAAGCUUCCUCAUAAAAGCCAUAUUCAGUGCAUGCAGAUAUCAUGGAAUUCCACAAAGCAACAUCACGGCUGGAGACAAAUUCAAAUAAUUUACGUGAUAGCUCGAAACAUCCACACUCACUAUACAUAUUCAGCAAUGCAUUCACUAUGAACAGAUCAUCACUGUAACUAUUCUUAAUAGCCAUUUCAUGAAUUUGCUUGCCUAAUUCAAUAGAUCCAAUUCCUGCACAGGCCUGAAUAACAACCAACAUUGAAACAUAGUCAAACUUGACCCCGUCCACAAGCAUCUGUACAAAAAGCUUCAAGGCCAUCAAGUACUCUCCAAUUUCAACAUACCCUGUAAUUAUUGCAUUCCAACUGAUAAUGUUCCUCACAACCAUCGAAUCAAACGUAAGGCGUGUUGUUUUAAUGUCGAAUCUCAGAUAAAACCCUAUCAAAGCAGUACCCACAUGAGCAUCCAAAUCAAAGAGACCAUUCCUCAAGGCAUAGCCAUGUAUCUCCUGUCCGGACCUCAACUCUGAAACCUCCCUACAUGCUGAAAGCAAUGCAACCACAGUACGCGAAUUGGGUUUCAAUCCCUCAUUCUGCAUCUGCAUAAACAACGAUAUAGCCUCCUUGUAACAACAACACCUCACAUACCCAUGUAUCAAAGCAUUCCACAAAACCAAAUCUCUCUCCCUCAUUUCAUCAAACACCUCGACUGCAUCAUCGAUAAGCCCGCCUUUGCAGUAAAAAUCAACAAGGGCAGUCCCAAUUCUAACAUCUUUCAUUAAACCCGUGUUCCGAAUACUCGAAUGUAUUCCCUUGCCUCUCUCGACGGCACUCAGCCUUGCACAUGCCUUGAGAACCAGAGGCAGAGAGGUGUUAUCGGGUGCCACUCCGAGAGAUUCCAUCUGGGUAUAUGUUGAGAGGAUUGCAUGGUCAUUUUUGAGCUUGGCGUGGUGCUUUAUGAUCAAGUUCCAGUCUUUUGGUUUUGGUUCUUUGAUUGGUAGAUUUUGAAGGCUUAGACUGACAGGCAUAUCCAUUAGUGGAGGCUUUCACAUUUGGCGGGAAUGUGAGGAAGAUAGAAGAUAGACCAACAUCAAAGGGGUUCUUUCCUUAUACUAUUUAUUUUGUUGGUUUAUUAGCGGCGGUUUAGUGGUUUGUCUCUUCUUUUCUCAGGUCUUUAUCAGGGAUCAUAUAAGCAAUGCUAUGUUCAUGUUAUCUUUCUUUUUUAAUACUUGAAGGAAUGCUUGAAUUUGUAGAAAAUGAGAAGCUCAGAGAUUGUAUCCGUUUAUCAUCGUCUUUGUGGGUAACUUGUAGCUCUAGUGGUUAAAAGUAAAGUAUUUACUUAUACACUAGCCUCGAACCCAAGUUAAAAUCCUCAUUCACACCCUUAGUUCAAUAUACAAUAUACACCCGAGUCUAAAUGAUAAAAAAUGAGCAAGUGUGACCUACUCCCAAUUCAUUGCUUGAAUUACCAUGGCAUAUAAUUAUACAGCUUUCUAGCCAACUACAAUUUCAAUUUCCAGCAAAACACGUCUUUUAUAUCAUAGGUUGAGAACUUAUCUGCUGGCUCUUAGUCUCCCGCAAGUCCAUGUGAGCAGUAACUAUUAACUGUAACCAUAAGAAAAAUAAAUAGAAUUUUGUUUCAACUGUGAUACUAAUGACCCAACAAUCCUCAGGUUAGUCAAAAAGCGAAAACCAUGGUUUACAGGAUAUUGCAUCGCCCCACCCAAAGAACAUUAGAAAGGUGCAAAGAAAAGCUAAAACAGAAGAUCUGCAUACAUGGGGUUUGAGAAACUGCAUAGCCUAAAACCUUGCACAAGUAUGUGCUAUUUUUCUAUAUUUAAUAUCCUAAAUUCUGAAAGUUGUAAUGAUAAACAAAGGGGCACAAAAUCGUCAACAUUUUGGUGUUGCUGACUGGUAAUACUAAUAAGAUAAAAGCAGCACAGUCACAUCCUUCACGAAAUCCUCAGCAAGUAAAGCCUACUGGCAUGCCGUCGCACCAGCUGCAGCUUCCAAAAUUGUCCUAGCUUCUGUAGCUAGUUCUGGUAAAUCACUUGGGAUCUGCCAAAAUUUCAAUGAGAAACACCACAACAACAGGAAACAUAUAAUUUAUAAAGUUCCUUCAAAUACAAACCUUUCCAUAUAGGUUCGCCUUUGUAGGAGAAGCUCCGGAAGCCAGCAACAAUCUUAUAAUAUCAGCAUGCUCACCCCUCGCUGCAUGAUGAAGAGGCUGUGGAAGAAAUGGCAGUAUAUGAGUAUAAUGUUCACAAAACCGACAAGAAACAAGGAUAGAGUACAACUGCUUUUAAUAUGCAGUUCAUCUGGAAAACUAAAGAAAAAUUCACAAUUGGAACUCCCAUGUAAAACAAAAGGAUGUGAUUUGGUUAAUACUCACAGUAUCGCCUUCGGCAUCAACUGUUUCUAGCAUUCUCUUUACACGGGCAGCGUCAUUAGCACCAUUAAUCAAAAGUUGAACUAUUUCAGUGUAGCCUGCAAUAGUCAUUUGAGGAAAAGUCAAACAAAUCGAAUUGAAAUAUGAAUUCAGACAUCACAAUGGCAACAAGUGCUUACCCCCAGCACAAGCAUCAUGCAAAGGAAUUGCUCCAUCUUCAUCCGUAGCCUCCAAGUUUGCACCUCUCUCCAAAAGUAACUAAAUUGAAACAAUUAUUAUCAGCUCAAAGUACUAAUUGCAACAAAUAAAUAAAGAACAAAGAAUUGAUCAAAACAAACCUCCACACAAGAAAGAUUGCCAUAGAGACAUGCAAGAUGGAGAGCUGUGUCCCCAUCUUCCACUGGUUCAUCAAUGCUGCCUCCUUCUAAGUUAUCUAUAUACAAUCAGAAUGAAGGGCAAGCAUCAGCAGAAAUAAAGAUUAUAUGAACCAAAAACCAAAAUGGGGCAAUUAAACACUCCACGAAAAAAAUAAAUAAAUAAAUAACUUCAUGAAGUUCCAUGAAUAUAUUAUUUCCCAAAGCAUUUGAAUACAGUACAAUCAAAUAACUAAGAGGGGCCAGUUUGAAAACACAUAUUAAUGAAAGUUUCCAGCUUUCUUACACUAACCACCGAAAUACAAACAUAAUUAACCAAUUUGUGACAAUAUUUCAGCAUAAUUCUUUGUUUAAGUCUUUUGGGUCCAUAAGUCUAACAAAAUUGAGCUAAAUGGCCAAACCAAAUCAUAAUCGCAAUAAACCCAUUGAGAAAAUCAAGCUAAAAAAUCUGGUAAAGAAAAGUGGGUAUGAAAAUUGAGAGGCGAAGGGGUACCAAGAGCGAGGCGAAGGGCGUCAAGGUCGCCUUGCUGAGAAGCGUCAGCGAUGGCGCGAAGGUGAGGAGGGGUGUGAGAGUCGAGGUCCUCCAAGCCCUCUUCUUCGAACAGAGCGUUUUCGUCUUCGUUGUCAUCUUCCUCCAUACCAUUCCGCCUCCCUGGAACCGCCAUUCUCUUCUGAAUGUUUGUGGGUUUUUGGUUCGAUGCUUCGUGUGUGUACUAAAUUUCGAAACUAGGGGUUAAGAGGCCAAAAGGGUACUGCGGAAGUUGUAUGCGUUUUGGUAAAUUACAGUUUUGGGCCUUUGGGAACCACACUGGACUGUUGUAAUUAGGAUGCUGAUCACAUUUUUAGUUUUCAAAUAAUGUGACUAAUCACAUAUUAGUACUUGCGACCAAAAAAAUAAUAAUCACAUGUUAGUAUUUUCAAUUUUUUCAUUUCCUGAUGGAAUGUAUAACGUUUUAACUGUUGGAAAUUGGGGGUGGACAUCUGAAAUGGUGAAUUGGUGAACUAAAUCGAAACAUACUAUAGAAAGAAAAAAAUUGUUGACCAAAAAAGUCAGAUUAAAUUCGAACAAACCAGUUUAUGAAUUUUUAUUUUAAUAUAAGCAAUAUUAUAGAGAAAUCGAACUUAGAACUUUAAUGAUAGUUUCUCAACAACAAAAAAAAUCUUAAUGAUAAAUAUUUUUAAUCACUUAACCACACGUCACUUGCAACUGAUUUUUUAUUUUAAAUUUUGCAAAGCCGCAGUCCAAGCUUAGGUUGGGCUUAACUUAUUGGGUCUGGCCCAUAUUUACAGAUUUAAAACCAUAUAAUUCCAAAUUACAAGAUAGUCCAAGGUCGUAUGCAAUUAUACAAAUCUAAUACAGAAACAUGGGUAAACAAUUUAUUCCAUAUUUCCCGCUGAUGAUGAAGAUUUGGUGCACUCAUCUUUUCCAUAGUGUAUGGAUUAAGGGUGGGUAGCACCAAUAAAUUAAAGUCCUUGCUCAAACAAAAGCUAGUGACUGACAACUUUAAAUAUGAGCCUCUUGUGAGCCUGGAAAUUUUAGAGUUUUGGGGUUCUUAAGGCAGCGUGUAAACCAUGCACACAGUUGCCAAAUUGCCAACGGCCCCAUUCUCUCUCUCUCUCUCUCUCUCUCUCUCUCUCUCUCUAUAUAUAUAUAUAUAUAUAUCUAUAUAUAUAUAAUGCAAAUGGAUCGAUGGAUAUGCAUCUCACGCAAAGUGAUCACAUGCCAACCUUUUCAGCACCCACCAUGAGCACAUAGCCAACAAUACAAGAAAAAUUAGAUCAACCUAUGUGACUAAUUUUUCAACAAACGAGCACAUGUUUAUGAAUGGUUACGUCUAAGUAGCUUGAUAGAUAACCGAUCAGAAAUUUUAUUUUUGUCUUGAAAAUGUGAUAUAUAGAUAUGGUACAAAUAAUUUUAUCGUUAUGAUUUUAAACAGUAUAAUUAAUAUUUGUCGUUACAUCCUAUCCUAAGAAAGCAUGAGUCAGUACACGUUCGUAUACUUUGCAUCAUUAUAGAUAUAGUUUUGAUUGAACAAAAUAACAUAACGGAAUAAGAGAGCGUGUGAUGUAUCACUUUCCCCAUAUAAAUGCAAAAGUGGAUCCAUAAAAGAAGGGCAGUUAGCUUGGAGCUACUAGCUUUGCUUGCCAUCCGUUUAAACUUUUUUGGUCAGUUAUGUAUGAAAAGGAUAGACAGAGACAAAGCUUUUUAGCUUUCUUGCAAACCAAACAAGGGAACCUAAUCCCCUACUUUCGGUUGAGGUUUUGGUGGUGCCGGCAAAGUCAUUUCAAUUGACAACCCCCUACCCUCCUUUGCUCUCAUUCUCAAUUCUAACUCUCCUCAGAUAUAUGCUCUUUUCCGACUCAGAAAGGACUGGCCCAAAAAAAUGCCACCAUAUAUGGACAGUAGCAUACAUGGCCCCAACAAAAAAUUAAUACACAAGUCAAGUCAGUUAAGUAACCAAAGAAUUCAUCAAUUUCAACUAUAUGAUUAAAGUUUGGACAUGUAUAAAAGAAUCAACAAUGAAGAUUGAAUGAGUAACAAUGGUGUUAACAAUUAAUUGGGUCACAUUGAUGUUGGGGGUUGCUGCUAUAGCUAGCUGUGUUUUUAGUAAUGGCAACCCACCAAAGGAGAGGUAGAGAAGACAAUGACUUGUUCCUUCUUGGGGCCAAAGGGAAACUUGGUUUCGAGGCGUUCUUCUUCUGGUGCAGGAAGAUUAAGAUCCAACUGCAAAAUACUUCUUGGUCUCUUUGAUCCUGAUUGUGGCUGCGGAGAACUCAUAGCUGCUGCUGUUGCUGUUGUUGUUGUGUUCAUAAAUGUUCUGUGCCUCCUCAUAUGACCCCCUAAAGCUUGACCAGAUGUGAACUCAGCACCACAAACUGAACACUCAUGAACCUUAUUGGCUUUGCUGUUAUUAACAGGAGUAGCAGCACUGCUCGAUGCCCUGUAAUCCCGAUUCGAUAUUUGUAACGAAAGGGUGGUGCUCGUGUUGUUAAACCGAUCAUACUCCUCCGCUUCUUCCACGAACGACAAGGCUUUCUUGUUGUCCUGUGUGAUGUUCAUGUUAGCCUUGUUGGGUUUCUUGUGACUGGCUCUGUGUCCACCGAGAGCUUGGAACGAAGAGAAGCACCGGUCACAUGUCUUGCACUGGUAAACAUAUAACCCAGCUGAAGCUGAAGCCUUAUUGUUGUGAACCAAUAUGGGGUGUUGGGUUUUGGGCGUUGAAUUUCCUUGAGCCAAAAGAAUCAAACAGUUUGCCAUGUCCUCCUCUUCUUCUGUACUGAUCUCUGUGAAUUGAUCAGCUGAGGUGGCUGGUGAGGUUUCUGUGGGACCAACAAGGACUUGAUGUUGAUGAUCAUGACCUGCACUAGAUGAGCUUGAAGCUGUUGCUGUUGAGGCAUGAGCAAGCGGAGAAGCCAGCCUCUGCCGUUUGGUGCGUUUGCCUUUGAUGAUCAUCAUCUGGCUCUGAUCCUUAUAACCCAUCACAGCUUCUUCAUGAUCUUGAUGAUCUGCACCGUCCAUCAUCAUCAUCAUCAUCAUCUUGAUCAACCCACCACACCAGGAACCAGAGCAGUACCAACAAAACGCUUGAGACCAGAGAGAAAAAGCAGAGAGAGAGAGAAAGAGAGAGAGAGGGAGAGAGAUGGGCUGUGAAUUGAAUUGAAGAAGCAACGUUAAGAAAGUGGGGUUGUAAUUAUAGUGGUGAAGAGCGAGUUUUAAGUAGUGGUGAGUCUAAAAAAAAAGCCGCCCAGGUGAUGAAUAGUAUAGUAACCGUGAGUUUUUGCCUAAUUGCCAAGCUUGGCGUUUUCGAUUUCCAACCUUGGAAGUUAUAUAUAGAAAUACAGAAUAGGAAAAUAUAUGCUUGAAUAUCUUUCUGUGGGGCAUUUAUACAAACAUAUUACAGGUGUGUAUUGGGGGAGAGAGAGAGAUGCAAUGUAAGUGUGAGGAAGCGAGGCAACGAGUGAGAUUCGGUUGGCUUUGAAGCAAACCCAUUACUUUUUUCCAACGAUUCCUUUCUGUAGAGGAAGAAAAUUGGUUUGCAAGCCUGUGAGUGCCGCAGAAUUUGUGCAUCUCCGCCCACCUUUUUUUGUUUUUUUUUCCUAUUUCUUACUAAUUUACUUUUCUUGCCCUCUACACGUCUGUUAAUUAUCAUUAGUUUGAACUAUUUUUGGGUUCUUUAACAGUGCAGUUUAAUUAAUCAACAAUACUAUCUGUAUCAUAUUUAUAACAAUACUAUCUGUAUCAUAUUUAUCGAUCACAUUACUUAUUACAUUAGAGGUGAGAGAUACGUGACGAAAAUCACGUUCAGCAAUGUAGCAUUACUAACUCUUAACUAAUUAACUAAUUUAAUAAGCCAUCACCCAAAUGUUUGAAAAUUGUUGGUGGAGGAGAUCUUUUGUGACUUGUGAGGAGGGGAUUUUCAUAAUCUUUUUAACUAUUAAUAGACUGCAAAUUCAUUAGUGACUUGAUCAAACUAAUUAAGCAGUUCAUGUGCAGUUGACCCACCUACUACAUAUUAUACGCUAAUCACUUCUUGGACGGACAAUAACCCCAAAAUCACGCCGCCCUAAGUCUAUGUUAUGAUCCAAUUAUUUGGAUUGACAUUUUAUGCUCCCUCCAAUCAUUAGGGCUGUUCCAUUAUGAAAAAAAAAAAGAAGUAAUGAAAUAAAAAUUUAAUGGUUGGUAAAAAGCACAAAAUGAUAACACUUUUCUUAGUAGAACUUAGCUGCAAAAUCACAUGAAUGCUUACAAUUUUCGAAAGCAAUCAGUGAUAUAUAUGUAUAAUAACGUUAACUAAUUAUAAUAAGUUAAUACGAUGCUAACUGCUCGUUUUGACUCAUUUCACAAUCUACAAAAGUAGCCAAAACUCUAAAAAUACUUAUAAUGGCAAUGGAAUGAGGUGAGCAAAUGGUUAGAUUCUAAAAGUUGAAGUUAUGUAAGAUGAGCUAAUUGAUGACUUGUGCAUGAUUAUAAAAGUGAAUUCAAACAGCCUCAUGCUGCAUGCAUACUCUAUCUCCAAUGAUUGCGUAAUAACAAUAACAGCAAGAGUACAAAUUACCACCAAGCUAACAUUAUUGUUAUAUAUUACAUUAAUUCUUAGAAAUGGAAUGGGAAAGGGAAAAAAAGGAGUUUCUAUUUUUCCUUAUACGUAAUAUGAUCUGAUUAGUGAUUAAUAAUAAUGGUAAACGGUUACGACUUACGUGUUAUUUUGUUAUUUGAAGUGAAUGAGAAAGAAAAGACAUAUUAUAAAAAUAAAGAAAUAUUGUUUGGACGGUGACUAAAUUGAGGGUAGAGUAGUGUGAAGUAGAGGGUAGAGAGGAAUAGGGUUUAGACUUAGAGGGAGAGAUUCUUGGCGUAAGGAAUUAUAGGGGAGGGGGAGAGAGAGAGAGAGAGAGAGAGAGAGAGAGAGAGAGAGAGAGAGAGGAGGAGAGGUUGUGAGGGGCACGUAAAUGCCAAGGCCAGCAUCAGCAGUAGUUAGUGACACAAAGUAAAGCAUCAAAUUCAAUUAUUUUAUUUAUUUUAUUUUAUUUUAUGGAUUUUGGUUGGUGACAUAACAUGGGGUUUGCUUCAUAUAAUUCUCUUUUGCACUGUUCGUAUAAUUCUGCUACUUCUCAUCCACUCCUUAUCCUCAAAAGCUCCUAAAUCUGUAGAAAAAUAUUAAAAACUUUUCCAAAAUUCAUGUGUUCACUCCACUUCACAUGUGCGUGUAGAAUUCAUAUUCUUCCUCAUAACUUUUUCUUUUUAAGUCAGUUUUAAAAAUAAUAAAAAAUACAUUACUUGAAAUCUUAAAACGAUGACGAAAUGCUAUAAGUUCAUGACAGCUUUAGCUGCAAGACAGAGUCAAGACUCUCUCUCUCUCUCUCUCUCUCUCUCUCUCUCUCUCUCUCUCUCUCUCAAGUGUAAAGAGCACCGUUUUAGUUCCAUAAACAAAUGAAAGAAACAGUAUUCUUGCCUAUCGAGCGUUGUUUUAUGCGAAAUGUCUAUACAAUGUACAGAAACUGUACAGUUUCUUUCGAGUAUUAUGAUUUAGACGGUUUAAAAUCCCAAAAUAUAAAAAAUAUACGCGGAGAUAAUAUAUGUAAUGUAAAAAUAUUGAUUGUAUGCAUUUCAAAUUUACUCUUUAAAUUAUGUAAGCUGAUAGAAAGAAAAAAAAAAAAAAAAAAAAAAAAAGCCUGGUCGGUGCUAAAAAACACAUUUUGAUAGUUGACAAGGAUGCUGCUGGGGGGUCAAUCAAAGCCUCAAAAUUAUUUGUCAUUUUCUUAUGAUUUGAAGCAUAUAAUUAGUUCACGUUAAUUUAGAGACCUAGUUAAGGCACUUCCUUCCAUAGAACUACGGUUGCCUUCUGUCUCUACUAAAGCUAGGCUAUAGGUUUAGUUGGUCACACAGUCACAGACUCAGACUCACAUGAAGCACGAGAAAAGGUCUUUGUUUUCUCCUAUUUUUUGACUCAUAUUAUGAUUUGGACACCACUUGACUAUUUAUCUGUAAGGGGAUAUUCUUUCUUUUUACGAAUAACAGUUUGACACGUAUGUAAAAAUAAUUUAUCCAAAAUACAAAAAGAAAAACUUAUAAACAUAUGUCACAUUGUUAUUGACAAGAAUAUAAAAACUCAUAUUUUCAUGUUAAGGAGGGAGUAUUUUUCUGAUGAUUUAUGCACAUAAUAAUUCCAUUGUUGUUAGUGGUUGACCAUGAAGAUACCCCACCUGGCUGAAUGAUAGAAAUCACUCAAAUCACAGUUGGUCUUGGUCCCUCUGUGAAAAGUUGGCAGGCUGAACCAUAAUUCACAGAUUUUUUUUUUAAAUUUUAAUUUAAAUAAAGGAAUUUUUAUCGAACAGAGAAAGUAAAAGGCCAGAGCCCAAAAUAAAGAACAACACAAAGGGCUCAAACUAAGAUUACGAAGCCCAACAAAUAGGUAAACAAGAAAAUAAACCAGUAAGGGCCAAAGCCCGAAAGAGCCCAAUCAAAAACCUCACCACAAAUCCAUAAGUUUGGGAAAAAAUAUAACUGGCUUUUCUUUUUUUUCUUUUUUUCUUUUUCCUUUUUUUUUUUAAAUACCAAAAAUAUUCCAAGGGUCAUGUUUUGCUACAUCAUUGCAUAGGACUUGUGCAAUUGCUGGCUAAUAGACAUCAUGAUGAUGAUUCACUGAUGUUAGAUUUUCAUCUUAACGUUGAUCAAGACCGUACUUGAAAGGAACCCUUUAAAAUAACGUUGUAAUUUACAAAUUUUACAGUAUGGUAGUAGUUAGUAGAAUGUCGGUUUUCUAACUUUAGGGCCCAAUUUCAACUUCCAUAUUGUGUUUUGUAGGUUUUUAAAUAAGUGAAAAUUUUAGUCCAGUGUGGGGCUAUUUUUUAUUGUCACCUCGGACUCCCUAAAAUCUCAUUGCCGACCAAGAUGGUGUGGUUACCUUUGGCCACUCUCACUCCAACUCCGGUUACUUUACCUGGCAAUAGUUUGGUUACUGAGAGAUUAGAUGUAUAUGCAGGCGUGGGUUGCUACCAUUUGAAAACAAAUACUUUAUGACUAUGAAAAUGACUUGAUGUUGAUGCCAAAUAACGCACAUCCGACUUUUGUGCAAGUUGAGUUGCAUUGAUUCAAACUUGUAAUAGCUACGUAUUUGUUUUGUUUUUGUACGCAAAAGAUAAUAGGCCCAAAAUGGUGUUUAUUUCCUUUUGUUUAUGGUAUUUUUCCCUUCGCAUGAUUUUAACCUCCAAAAAUGACCUAUUUGGACGGAUCCCCAUCAAUAAUUUUUGGAAUUAAGUUGUUUUAGAAGUGCAGCUCCAGUAACUUAGCCCUCCUUGCUUUUGGUACAAGACGAAGCCCUUCGUUAACAAUAUCAAACUCUAUGGCACCUUAAUAGUGUGUGUUUAUGAGAAAUUUUCCUCUCUUUUGUAGUUUAAACUAUCACUUGUAUUUAAGAAAUGAAAUGAAACAUACUUGAAACUUUUUGGUAGGAGGUAAGAUCAUAAAUUGUAGUUAAUAUUAUGAUAGUGACGUUUAUCUUUAAAUUAGGAUUUAUGCUAAUAACAUCUCUAGUAGAGUUGCUAUACUCUGAUUCUUAGCCAUUUUGGCUAGAAUGAGGGCAAAACACAACUCCAUUAGACUUACUAGUUGGCUUUUUAUUUUGAAGAACUCCCGAUUUGAGUUUAGUGGCCUUUACAUUUGGAGAGGAGGAGAGAGAAUUUGAGGGUUUUCUAUUUCUUCAUCUUCUCUCUCCCUAGAGAGAAGAAGAGAGAAAUAAUAAAAUAUUAUAGAUUAACCAAAGUAGUGAAUAUUGAGGGAGGAAACUACUUUUAAGUAGUUUGCUAUAAUAGUUUUCUAGCUAUUUUAGCUAAAAUUUGGCUAAAAUUUGAAGACUCUCCUAGAGAUGCUUAAGCUAAGUACAAUCACUCAAGUUUGUCAUUAAUCGAAGUGUGAGCUUAUAUCAACAACGGUUAGUUGGCCACACGCUAAUAUUUAGGCAACAAUAGUUCUGAAAUAGUAAUCAUUUACGACUAGAGUACUUUGGACCAUACCAAGAGUAAAAAUGACAUUAUUUUUCUUUUGGAUAAUGCUUCCCUCUUUGCCCAUAGGAAGGAACUCCUCCUCGCCUACUGAUGUGGCUCAACCACAAUCUGACACUUGUCUCUCUUAUUAAGAAUAAUUAAAGUGAAAAAUAAAUGCAACUUUGAGAAUUUAUAAAUAAAAAAUAAAUAAAUAAAUAUAUAUAUAUAUAUAAAAAGAACAAGUGUUAGUUUGUGGUUGAGCCACAUCAAGAUAAGGAGAAGUUUCUCCUUAUGGGCAAGGAGGGAAGCUUUGUCAUUUCCUGCUAAUCAUAGUUUGACAUGUGUGUUGAGAUUCUUUUUUUGUGUUUUUGAUGAAUUAUUUUUGCAUAUGUGUCAAACUUUAAUUUACAGGAAAUAGGAAUGCCUCCUUCCAGCUAAGGAGGGAAGCAGUGUCCUUUCUUUUUUAUCAUAUUCUUUACUUUAUUUAAAAGAUUUUGAAAAGUAGGAUAGCGAUCCAUUAAAUGUAAUUAUUAAACCAAUUGAGUUAUAUAAAAUUGUCACUAAACGAAGUAAUUAACAACUCUAACGACAAAUUGAGGAAAUUAUCAUAAGAAUCUAAUGUUGGAUUUGUAUAGUAAAUGGCGGGAAAACCUUAGUGCCCAAAAAACAAAACAAAAACACUUUUGAACUGUAACGCUUUAUCUGCUUUUUAACUUUAUCAUUGCAAUAAAAAAUUGAAUGAAAUUGACACAUGGCAUGGUCCAAAUUUUGGUCCCAAUAAUCCGCUGAAAAGGCAAAGGGGUCCCACCACCAAGCACAUGGUGUCCCACACGCCAUUCCUAUUGGGUACAGCUGUGAAGUGACCAAUCAAAAGGGCCAGUGCCAGCCUUGUAGCUGAACGUGCAUCGUGCUUCAUGUACCCCACCUCCACGUACGCACUCACGUGCUCCCCUUCUAGUAUUUAGAUAACUUAUAAAAUGUAAGUCACAUCACCCAUUAUACACUAGGAUGAUAUAUUUUAAUUGUAAGUUUAUUUAUUUAUUUUAUUGUUUUAGGUUGAUAAGCUUUAGUAUUUGUCUCUGACAAUCGAGAGGUCAAUUGCUGAGCCCCACCACUAUUUCUUUCUUGUGUCAAUUUACUCACACCGGUUCUAUUUAAAUAGUUAAUUUUAGAGCCGGAGUACCGUCGGUGGCUGUAGUUUAGUGGUGAGAAUUUCACGUUGUGGCCGUGAAGACCUGGGCUCGAAUCCCAGCAGCCACAUCGUUUGUUUAUUUUGUUUAUAUUUCACGCUGUUUUCUUCAUCCUUCCUCAAGUAUUCAAUUUGUACAAUUACAAUUGUCAUUCAAAAAACAUGUCUUCAUGUCGGUUUACAUGAGUGGAUGUGGAACCUUAUGCAUCAUGAUUGCUGUUGGAGACAAAAGCUUGACCAAACCACCUCAAAAUAAUGACUACUUAUAUUAUACCAGUGGACAAGGAAGGGACCAUUGUUUUGGCUCAAUGUUUUCAAUUUAUAGCAUGUUUGUUUAAAAAGAAUGCGAGAAGUCAUGAAUCGGAACUCUUGAAUUUGUGAAUAGCACGUGAGCAGUUUUACAUUAAUUGGCCAGUAUCCACGAGUUAAUCACUUCCGUCAAUGUUUGGACCAUCAUCCAUAUAUAAUUUCAUUCUAUUUGGAAUGUAAUUAUUUAUUAUUAUUAUUAUUAUUAUCAUCAUAAGUUGCAUCAUCAGAUAUUGACAAAGUCAUAAUGAUCAGAUACAUGAAACUAAUGAAAUAAAAAGACAUUAAUUGCUUUAUUCUUGCAAAUCCUAGUUUCACGAAUAUACAAAAACAAUUUAUGAAAAUAUAUACGAACAUGUCAAAUUAAGAUUAGUAAGAAAUUAUCAGUUUUUACUUCCGACACGAAACAAAGUACUUUUCUUGAUUAUAACCAGGAUAAACAACAUGACUCAUAGGCCUUGUUUGGUUCAUGGGAAAGGAGACUUAGGUCACCUCCACCGCAACCUAUUUUGUUAGGGCAAGAGGCCCCCCAAGUGGGGUUUGGACCUCCAGCGCAGGAGAAGCAGCCCGAGCAAGCCCAAAGGCAGAUCUUGCCUAGAUUUCAGCCCGAAGGUGCUGACGUCACGCUGACGUUAGCGAGCAAAAAAAAAAUCCUCAAUUUUUUUAAAAAAAAAAUACCAAAAAAUUAUGGAUGUUUUCCCUAUAAAUACAUAACAAUUUUUUUUUAAAAAAAAAAAUUCAAUUUCUAAAUUGUUUAUAUUUUGUUGCAUAUUCUUUUUUUUUUCUUGCCCUUGUCCUAGCCUUUUGGGGUGGAACCAAAAAAAGAAAGGUUAUCACUAUUCACAUGAAUAGUAGCACCCAUUGCCUUGCCUUUGCCUUUACCUUUGCCUAUCCUUUUGGGGUGGACAUGCUCAUAGGGAUGAGAAAUCAAUUGCUUUCCUAUGUUCGUAAAUCCAGACAUGGAAAAUCGUUGUUUGCAUAUGGGAAAGUAGAGGGAAAGUGAAGCUCUCCUCCCCCAUUGAUUUUUGUUUUCCUCAUAAUGGGAAAGUUUGAGAAAAUGAGCUAAUAUUAAAUACACAUUUUUCAUGACCAUAUUGUCUCCAUUAAAAAUUUAGAAUUACAAUAUAGCAUUAAAUGCAUUCUUUUUUAUUUGAUUUCAUAUGGGUAUAAUUGAAAAAUUAAACAAACUUUGUUUUACAUUCCUACAUAAACUAAACAUGUGAAAGGAAAUAAAGUGGUAUUUCUUGAUUACUUUCCCAAGAUUAUCAUACAUGGGAAAUGAAUCUCUAUUUCCCAUCCUUUGGGAAAUAAUAUGAUAAGUAAUUUCCCCUCAAAUCCGUUCCAUAAAUCAAACGGGACCAUAGUAGAUUUGAAACAACGAAAAUGGAUUUUCAUUUCGUAUGUCAAUGUUCCAUCUAUGAACAACACUCAUCUUCAUCUUUAAGGGUUUUUUUUUUUUUUUUUGGAGGACCUUUCCUAUUAAGAGGGGCAAUAGCAUACUAAAUUCACACACACUAUACGGAUACUAGGACUUGAACCUAAGACCUUGCCUGAGAGAAUAAAUACUCCAUACCACUACACUAUAGUGGGUCCUUUGCUUCAUCUUUAAGGUUUUGAGACAAUUUGAUGUGGCUACUUUUAUUUAUGUAUUUAUCAACAUUGGAUGUGGCUAUUUGGUAAGUUCCACAUUGAAUAAUAGGCAAAAAUAAAUAGAAAAAACAGUAAUUUAAAAGAAAAACCCAGGUAAUAUUCGAGGGUAUAUCCCAAUCGCCAAAACCAUGGUUAAGUUGAGAAUAGGGUUGUCCUUUUUAAGGAGAUGGUUGAUUGGUUGAAAGGAUGACCCUAAGAACGACUCUACGGUUCAUAUCCUUUUCAUAUACUUCUUAUCAAAAUAUCAACGUCAUUUUAGUUAAAUUCCUACUUGAAUUUGUCUCAAAUUUUGCCUCUACCUCCUACCAUGAGUCGGUCCAUUGCCCAAAUAAGUAAUAUUGUGUAUAAAUUUCAAACCUUCUAGGGAGUACUUGAUGUAUAUAAAGACAAGAAUUUCAAAGCUUUCAUGUAUAUUUGCCUUAGUAGAUUCAAGAACAUUCAACUUUAUACUUAAGAAGCUAGUAGACAAUAAACGUUCAGAAAUAACUAAAAGAUUUGUAUAUAACAUAUAUCUCCUUGAUUUUUCAAGCAUUUUGAAUGAUCACAAAAAUUGCACAAAUGAUAAAAUAUUCCGGUUAGAUGAGGGAAUAUAACUCGGAAUUUAGCUAAAAAUCGAAAAUUUAAAAGGAAAAAUUGACAAUUCCCUUAUUUGGUAACUUAAACACGGACUGUGAGUCAAAAUAAGCUCACUAAGCCAUUAUUUACUCAACAAAUAAACUAUAAUACGUAUGGAGAUAUGCACUCCUUGUUUUCAUAAAUCAAGUUGAUCUUAUAUCUUAUGCUUCAAUCACAAGCAUUCAAGAUUCGGAUUGUGCAAAAAAAAACAUGCACAAACUAUCACACAGAAAUGAAUAAAAUAAAAAAAUUGAAUGGAAUAUUAUAAAUUUUGAAAACAUGAAGAACAAUUUGGUUGUAAUUGAUGAUAUAAUUUCAUUUCACAAAAAUAGAAAUACGAUCUUUUUUUAGGAAUAAAAAAGAUUGGCAUUAUGUGUCCACUAUUUUGGCUUUGGUGCUACCACAAAAAGUAAAAUUAAAAAUGGAAAUGGCUCCUAUCCUUUAUCCAUUAUAGCAAACCGUUUAUUAGGUUUGGAACGGCAUAAGCGGAAAAUUUAUCAUUUUCCUUAUCAUCUAAUUUCAUAGGGGGAAAAAAAAUCUUGGGGAGGGGGGGUGGUGCGGACAGAGCUACUAACGGCCUAGGGCGCCUUCCGCCUCUGCAUUCAGUUAAUAAUGGAAUGGCAUAAGUGGAAAUUUUAUCAUUUUCCUUAUCAUCUAAAUUCAUGUAAGGAAAAAAAUCUCUUGAGGGAGGGGUGGUGCUGCCAUGGCUACUAAUGGCCUAGGCCUCACUCCGCCCCUGCAUUUAGUUAAUAAGAACAUGUAUUUACAUUUAUUAUAUCGAGUAAAGACAUUUAUUGGAUUAAAAAGAAAAUGGCAUUUUAGGCAACAUGCCAAAGGCAUCUUUAGAAUAUAACCAACACACUACCGUCACUCUUUAUAUAAUAGUAUUUCACGUUAACUUAUUUAGAAUGAGAGAAGUCAUCUUACAUUUAUUUAUUUCUAUUGCGAGAAAUCAUAAAUCAUGAGAAGUUUAUAAUUAGAAUAAUUCUGAUACAAGCAAGUAUACCCCCAGUUUAUAAAAUUAUUUAUUUUUGCAAAUAAGGAAAAUCACAACAAAUUAUUUUUACUCAUAUAUUAAAUUUUUUAUAUCGUAGCUACAAUUUGAUCCUUCUAGAGACGAACCAGAGAUGACAAAACCCAGUAACAUCCGCACGUUACGUGUCCCUUGUCACUUAUCUACACGUGUCACUACCACAAUCCUUUAUGGGCGCCAAUGCUCCGCUGUAUGAACAGCAACGAUACAGAAACGAGAGAUUACUAUGAGAUACGUCGACGCCUCAACCCAAAAAUAAAAAUUAUUUCGCUAUUUCACAGGCUGUCCACCAAUCACGUUCUACUUUCAAAUUCCCUACGAACCGGCAACCGGCUACAGCCGGUUCAAAAUCAGUCAUCAACUUCAGUAUAUAACACCAAACACUAUCACUACCAAACACUAUCACUAUACUGAGCCAAGAGUGAAGUAGUUUGUGAGCGACCGUACGCAGCUUAAUUCUGCAGCGAAUCUCCACCGUCCGAUCUUAAUCAUCCUCCGACGAUGCCGAUCCGGAACAUUGCCGUUGGCCGACCCGAGGAGGCGUACCACCCGGACGCCUUGAGGGCGGGUCUCGCCGAGUUCAUUUCCACGCUGAUCUUCGUCUUCGCCGGCGAGGGCUCCGGCAUGGCCUUCGCCAAGCUCACCCACGGGGCCGCGACCACGCCAGCAGGCCUCGUCGCCGCCGCUCUAGCCCACGGAUUCGGCCUCUUCGUCGCCGUCUCCGUCAGUGCGAACAUCUCCGGCGGACACGUCAACCCCGCGGUCACUUUCGGCGCCUUCGUCGGCGGCAAUAUCUCCCUCCUCCGCGGCAUCCUCUAUUGGAUCGCCCAGCUCCUCGGGUCCGCCGUCGCGUGCGGUCUCCUCAGGUUCGCAACCAACUACCAGGUAAUUUUAUCACUUUCUGGCCCUUUUUGAACUAUAAGUUUCUCGUUAAGUUCGUUAAUAUAUCAUUUUAUAUUAAAAGUGUGACUAACGGGUCUUGAUUAUGUGCUUCGCAGACUACCUCAGCAUUUGCUCUCUCCGAGGGGGUUGGGGUAUGGAACGCGUUCGUUUUCGAGAUCGUGAUGACGUUUGGGUUGGUGUACACGGUGUACGCCACAGCCAUUGACCCGAAGAGAGGCAGCGUGGGAACAAUCGCGCCGAUCGCGAUCGGUUUCGUAGUUGGCGCGAACAUUUUGGCGGGUGGGGCUUUCGAUGGAGCAUCCAUGAACCCGGCCGUUUCAUUCGGGCCGGCUUUGGUGAGCUGGAACUGGCACAACCACUGGAUCUACUGGGCCGGGCCUUUGAUCGGCGGUGGGCUUGCUGGGCUUAUUUACGAGUUCGUCUUCAUCGGCAACUCUAGCCACGAGCCACUCCCGACCGCUGAUUACUAAUUAAUUAAGCUUUAAUUAAGCCCUAAUUAAGAUUCAAUCAAAUGAUAUGCAUGCAUGAUGAAUCUUCACUUGUUUUUAUGAGGGUUUUGUACCUUUGAAUUCUUGUGUUUUAUUUCAUCAAGAAAGAUCAUGAUCGUUCAUCAUGAGUUCGUUGCCACCGUUGAUUGUAUUUGUUUCGCGAUUUGCAUGCUCCGGUUGUAUGAUUAAUUUAAUUUAUCCUUUUUUAUUAUUAUAAAUUUUCUGUAAUUUAUUUCUUGAAGAUACUCUUCUUCUCACUUCUUUUUACUGUUUUUAAUUUGGACCUACGCGGCCACGCGUCAUAUGAUAGAGAUAGGGUUGGGUUGGAUUAAACAGUUAAAUCUAGAAUGUGCUUGAUUUUGGUAGUUUUUACCUACCCCCUAAAGUGAAUAACUACUGUUCCUGCAUGUGAUUGAUUUGGCCCUGCCGACACCAACCAUUCGCCAAUAGUAGUAGUAGUUAAUCGGGGGAAGAUACAUGCAUGGGUAAUGUUAAGAAUCAUAAUUUUAGACCAGCAAUAAAUUACGUAUAUCAUGUCACACUAAAUAUUUUGAAUAAUGAAUAAUGAGGACAUUCUUUUUUAUAAACGUUGGAUUUGAAUUUAGAAUUUCUUUCAAUGUUUUAGUCGGUAACUAAGUAGGUUGCUGAUAUGUAUCAUUAUCACGUGCUGGAUAAUAUGAUUAAUUACUUACAAUACAAUCUAAUGAUUUGUUUAGAAGAUUAAUUUCCUCGUCCAUGAAGUUACUAAUUAGAAGUAAUUAAACCAAGCUAGCUAAAAUAAAAUACUCUGGUAGAGAACUAUUUGACAUGUGACUACUAGGAGCCUAUAUGACACACAUAAAUGCAAAUAUAUAAAUGCAAAUAUUAUAGGCAAUAUUAUUAUUAUUUAUGCAUGCGUAUUCAAUCAUGUGGUGUGGGUCUUGGAAAAGGAAUUUUGAAAUUGAUUGAUUUCAAUAUGUUUUUGGGUGGUUGGGUUUUCAUGUGAAGAGCACGAGAGGUGUGUGUUUCACGUUGAAAGACUGCUAGAAGAAGAGCCCAGACUACCCAUAUGAAAUGAAUGUGAUCAACUUAAAUAUUAGAGGAAUGGCAUGACCUACUUUCAUUUCAUAGAGAUUCCUCCUCGUCGUCAUCAUCAUCUCGUUCUCAUUCAUGAAAAAAGAAAAAAAGAAGAUGAAGAGCACAUGAUAAUUUUCUGGACCAUACUUUUGUAUCUUGUCCUUUUUAAUCUGCAUCUUUUGGCCACCUUCGUGGCCCGGUGCUAUCGUUUUCAAACCCGAAAGCUGCCCCGCUCUCUCUCUCUCUCUCUCGUAAAUGUUCUGGUUCUCACUGUGCAAACAUUGGCCAAGACGUGGUUUCAAGCGGACCGCACAACUUGCAAUGCUACCUUUCAAUUUCAUAGGAUCUUCUAAAGAAGAUUUGGGGUCCCAUGGCUCACCGUCCAUUCUGGUUUUCUAAUUUAUUAUCACACGGUUUAUAAAUAGUUUUUACUUUUCAAAUGGUAAUGUUGAUUUCUUGCCAAACUUUAUGUUACCACACAAAUAUUUAUAUGCAUAUUGACAGACUAAGAAUCCGAAUCGCGCAUUAUCAAAUAAAAAUUAAUAUGAUCAAUAUCAAAACUCACGUCACACAUUUAAAUAAGAACCAACAUGAUUAAUGAUCGAGAUUGAUAUUCUCAUGUUGUGUAAACGAGUGAAGAAGAAACUCACUGAAGCACACAAUACAAUAUUAGUGAAACUUUGCAGUGGAGUGAUUGAUUGACGACACAAAGCUGGUGGAAAGUAAUUUUUUUUUUAUUCUGACCCAAAUGAAGCCUUUGGCUCUUAGCCAGUUAUGUCGAACCAGUUGCAACUGGAGACUGCACCAUGGCUUGGCUUCUCACGUCGUUUUGACGUGACCUGUCCCUACCCAGUUUGCUAGAAUUAUUAACAAAACGUGAGAGAAGUUUGGCAGAGGUUGGGGAUGAUGAUGAUAAUGAACAAAUGUCUGUUUGUGUGUAGAACCGAAUACGGCCUUCAUUUCUUGCUCUCAGAAUACAAUAAUACUAGAGAAUUUGAAAUAUUGAAAUAUUGAGGGACUUUAUAUGAUUAAGGAAGCUGUCUGGAGUACUGAGUAUAAUGGUUUGUGAUAGGUGCCUGAGUUGUUAUGGUGGGAAAAUUAUUGUGGGGGCAACAACAAUUUAAAUUAUUCUAGUGUUCUGUUUUUUUUUUUUAAAGUUAGAAAAGGGAUGGGGAAAAACUCACACACACGAGUACUGUAGGGGUAACGCUUGAGUCAAUCCAACACACACCCCAUAAGUGCUAUAUAUCAUAGUUUAACCAAUUAAAAUAAAAACUAGACAGAUGACAUGUUUACUUAUUUAAAUUAUACAUGGGUAUUACGAGACUUUCACAUUAAAAUUCAUAAUUUAAUAUCCAUAAAACCAUGAAUUAAAUUGACUAGGAGAGAAUGGUCGAUUGGAGAGGUGGAGCCACUCAUGGGCUAGUAGUGACCCUGCCCCUUGCCCCUUGCCCCUUGCCCCCGAAAAUAUUGCUAGAAAACUCUCAUAUUUACAUAAUCGGCCCCUCUAAACAUGUGUAUGGAUGUGAAAUUUGUUAAACUUGUGUAAAAAUCAAUCCAACUACAGCUUGUUAUUUAUAUUUUGGCUCCCCAAAAUUUAAAAUCUUAGCUCCUUAGCUCCGGCCAUGCACGAUCCCCGACCUAUUCAUUGUCCUUUCUACUUUCCCACUUCAUGAGAUGACUUCCCAUAUUCCGAGUAAGUAAACAUGCCAUAAAUGCAAAUAGUCGCCAACCUACAGCUCGAGAGUGCAAGGCGAGAUCAAGAUUCGAGCUGUAGUCCGAAUGUGGGACUUAGGACUCAAGUCCAAAGCUUGGAUUAUGGGCCUGUGGUCUUAGACCUCUGAGCUCGGACCAGGCCACCAAUGAUUCUUGUUUCCUCGCUCAGAAUCUGAUGAACAUUGGUUGAAAGUGCCACUCUAAAAAUGGGCUAGGCUCUUCCAAUAACUGCAAGAGCAGAGGGGUGCCUCCAAACUCAGAUAGGCCCAAAUGAAUUAUUGUUGGGUUGGGUUGCUAUCACGUGGCCACGCAAGCAUAGACUUGAUAACGCUCACGUCAUUAACCACGUGGAUAUAUACAAAUGUCCUGAACCCCAAAGUUAGCCGACACGUCGUCAAACAACACCGCUGUUUUCUAAAAAAGCGUUUUUCUAAAUU